UACCAACUAAACAGCGAGUUGUUAUAAAAUCUUACCUGUUCCCCUUAAAGUUCGAUGUUGCAGGCUGCUCAAGUUUCGGUUUCAGCUCCUCAAUUCCUAGCACUCGAUUCUCCCGUUCCUUGCAGUCCCUUCCUCAGCUCUGGCUAAUUGAUUAUGAUGCUUACCUAAGUUGUAACUGUUGAUUUGUCAAGCCGCAGCCGCAAUUCUUGACCUUGGAUGGCAGAAUUUUGCAUCCUACAUCGAAGAUCAUAAACGGAAGGCUUCCCUCUUGAUCCCUAUAAAUAGAAGAGGCCAUUGAACGUUUGAUGGGCACCACUCAAGAGAGUUAUAUGGGCUAUUAGUUUCUUGAGUCAUCUAGCCCAUUUAGUCAAAUAUUUUAGACUCUCUUGUAUUGUGUUUAGGAAUAUUUCCUAAACCUUUUAUAAGUGCCUUUUGGCCUAGGAACCACUUUCCUACGGCUUUUGUAUUUCUUCUUCAUAGUAGAAAUAUUGCUCCUCCCUCGCCCGUGAACGUAGGUCAAUUUGACCGAACCACGUAAAUCUUCUGUGUCUUUUAUUUGCUUUGUUAUCCGUCUUUAUAUGGUCGGUUAUACCGCCUAAUUUGUGCUAACUUUAGUUUGUUUAUUCCUGGGCCGGUCCUAACAAACUGGUAUCAGAGUUGGUUGAUAUAUUUUGCAAGACAGGUUCAUCUGGUGGGGCCCGUUCAUUUGUGAGGUCCGUUCGUCCCGUGGGGCCCGCUUAUCUCGUGGGGCCCGCUCACCCUGUGGGGCCCACUCACGAGACUUGCAUAUUUGUUUCGCCAGUUUUUUAGACAAACUUCAGGUUACAGAUUUUGUGACAACAAUGACGAUAACAAAGACGGUUGUCGAGAAAUUCGACAGGAAUGUUAACUUCGGCAUGUGGCAGCUCAAGAUGGAGGCCAUUCUUGUUCAAGAUGGAGUUGAUUUAGCGAUUCAUGGAAUCGAGAACAAACCAGAAGAUGUAAAGGAUGCAGAUUUCGCUGAUAUGGAUAAGAAGGCUAGAUCCAGCAUAAUUUUGAAUCUCUCCGAUGAGAUAUUGCGUGAGGUAGCAACGGAGACUUCGGCCAAGACUAUGUGGGAUAAAUUGAAAGCCUUGUAUAUGAAGAAGACAGUCGAGAAUCGGCUAUAUUUGAAGCAGAGUUUGUAUAUGCUUCGGAUGUCUGAAGAUACAUCUAUACUCUCCCAUCUUGAUAAAUUUGAUUCCAUUAUUAUGGAUUUGGAGAAUAUAGAUUCGAAAAUUGAUGAUGAAGAUCAGGCCCUAUUACUUUUGUGUUCCCUUCCCCAAUCCUUUAAGUAUUUCCGUGAUACUAUGAUUUAUGGAAAGGAAACAAUUUCAUAUCGGGAAAUUAAAUCUGCACUAAAAUCUAAAGAGCAGAUAGAUAGGGAUAUUACUGGGGAAACUAGUGGGAGUCAAGCCGAUGGCUUAUUUGUUCGGGGUAGAUCUGAAAAGAGAAACACAGAAAAUAGAAGUAGAUUCAAGUCCAGAUAUAAAAAUGUGGUGUGCAACUAUUGUAAAAAAAAUGGCCAUGUUAUCUCUGAUUGCUUUAAAUUGAAAAAUAAAGAAAAGCAAAAGGGGAAAUUUGUUGAGAAAAACACUGAAUCCGCUGAAACUAGUAUAGCAGCUGAUGAGAAUGAUGGAACCAUAUUCUGUGCAACGAAAAAUAUUUUUAGGUCUAACAAUGAGUGGAUUUUAGAUUCGGGUUGUUCGUAUCAUAUAUGUCCUAAUAGGGACUGAUUUUCAACAUAUGAAUCAACUGAAGGUGGAGUUGUCUUAAUGGGCAACAACGCUGUUUGUAAAGUUGUUGGUAAAGGUACGAUCCGGAUUAAAAUGUACGAUGGUAUUGUGAGGACGCUCACAAAUGUUAGACAUGUUCCAGAUUUGAAGAAAAAUCUCAUCUCUUUGGGCACUCUUGAGUCUAUUGGGUGCAGGUAUUCAGGUGGAGAUGGAGUUCUCAAAAUCACUCGAGGUGCUCUUGUUGUUAUGAAGGCACACAGAUCUGGUACUUUAUAUAUUUUGCAGGGAUCUACUGUUAUAGGUGCUCUGCUGUUUCAACAUCAUCUUUGUCAGAUAUAGACAUCACCAAAUUAUGGCAUAUGCGUUUGGGGCACAUGAGCGAAAUAGGCUUGGGCAUACUAAGCAAAAGAGGACUUCUUUGUGGACAAAGUACCGAGCCAUUGGAAUUCUGUGAACAUUGUAUUUUUGGGAAGCAGAAAAGAGUCAGCUUCAGUUCACCAGCAAUUCACAAGACAAAAGGUACUCUUGAUUACAUUCAUUCAGAUCUAUGGGGUCCUUCUCGUACUCCUUCUAAAGGUGGUGCCAGGUACAUGUUGACUUUCAUUGAUGAUUAUUCAAUAAAAGUUUGGGUCUAUUUUCUUAAGCAUAAAAAUGAUGUUUUUCUAACUUUCAAGCAAUGGAAAGUUUUGAUUGAGAAACAGACAGGAAAACAUGUUAAGCGGUUGAGAACAGAUAAUGACAUGGAAUUUUGUGAAGGUGAAUUUAAUGAAUUUUGUAAGAAUGAAGGAAUUGCUCGGCAUCACACCGUCAGGAUGACGCCUCAACAAAAUGGUGUGGCCGAACGUAUGAACAGAACGCUUUUGGAGAGAGCAAGAUGUAUGAUCUCCAAUGCAGGGUUGACAAACGACUUUUGGGCAGAGGCGAUCAAUAUGGCCUGUUAUAUUGUCAACCGUUCUCCUUCUGUAUUUCUUGAUUUCAAAACUCCUGAGAAAGUUUGGUCAGGUACUCCUAUUGAUUAUUCCAAUUUAAAAGUUUUUGGGUGUCCAGCAUACAUGCACGUGAAUGAUGGAAAAUUGGAGCUUAGGGCUAAAAAGUGCAUUUUUCUUGGAUAUGCUUCUGGGGUGAAAGGAUACAGAUUAUGGUGUCCUGAUCCCAAAUCCCCAAAAUUUGUAAUCUGUAGAGAUGUUACUUUUGAUGAAUUGUCUAUGUUAUCUUCCAAGAAGGAGUCUUCUAGUCCUUGUACUAUUGAUAGUACACAGAAGCAGGUGGAGCUUGAUAUUGACAGUUCUGGUCCUUCUCAAUCCAAAUCUUCUAUUCAGCAAGUACCAAUAGAUGCACCUGAAUCUACUGUUGAAGAUAGUUCAGAAGAAAAGGAGUAUUCCAUAGCCAGAGAUAGACAAAGGAGAGACAUUCGACCACCACAAAGAUAUGCAAAUUUAGUUGCAUAUGCUUUGUCUGUUGCAGAAGAAACUGAUGCAGUUGGUGAGCCUUCCACCUAUUCAGAAGCAGUUUCUUGUGAUGAUUCUGCAAAAUGGUUGAUUGCGAUGAAUGAAGAAAUUGAAUCUCUUUAUCAGAAUGAAACUUGGGUUCUUGUAAAACCGCCGUUAAAUAAGAAAAUAAUUGGUUGCAAAUGGGUCUUCAAGAAAAAGGAAGGUAUUCCAGGGGUUGAAGAUGGAAGAUAUAAAGCACGAUUGGUUGCAAAGGGCUAUAGUCAGGUACAAGGUGUUGAUUUUAAUGAUAUAUUCUCACCUGUUGUUAAACAUAGCUCUAUUCGUGUUUUGCUUGCUUUAGUUGCCAUGUAUAAUUUGGAGUUAGAACAGCUCGACGUUAAGACAGCUUUCUUACAUGGCGAACUUGAAGAACAAAUUUAUAUGAGACAACCCCAGGGUUUUGAAAUUGAAGGUAAAGAAGACAAUGUUUGCUUAUUGAAGAAAUCCUUAUAUGGAUUGAAGCAGUCUCCAAGACAGUGGUAUAAGAGAUUUGAUUCCUUUAUGUUGGGUAAUGGUUAUUUGAGGAGCAUGUAUGAUAGUUGUGUUUACUUCCGGAAGUUAAAUGAUGGUUCUUUCAUUUACUUAUUAUUAUAUGUUGAUGACAUGCUCAUUGCUGCCAAGAAUUUGUCAGAAAUUUACACUUUGAAACUGCAGUUAAAUAGUGAAUUUGAAAUGAAAGAUUUGGGAGCAGCUAAGAAAAUUCUUGGCAUGGAUAUCAAUCGAGAUCGAGGAGUAGGGAAGUUGUUCUUAACCCAGAAAAAUUAUCUUGAGAAAGUCUUGGAGCGUUUUGGCAUGAAAGAUGCUAAACCAGUAUCUACUCCUCUUGCUAGCCAUUUUCGGCUAUCUGCUGCUCAAUCACCAAAAUCAGAUGAAGAGAAAGAUUAUAUGGCACGGGUUCCUUAUUCCAGUGCAGUCGGCAGUAUUAUGUAUGCAAUGGUUUGUACUCGUCCAGAUAUUACACAAGCAGUCAAUGUUGUUAGCAGAUAUAUGUCUUGCCCUGGUAAAGCACAUUGGCAAGCUGUGAAGUGGAUUCUCAGAUACUUACGAGGUACUUCAAAUGUAUGUUUGGAGCUUGGAAGAAAUGAUAACACUUUGGUUGGUUUUGUAGACUCAGACUACGUUGGGGAUCUUGACAGGAGAAGAUCGCUUUCAGGCUAUGUAUUUUGUAUUGGCGGUUGUGCUGUUAGUUGGAAAGCUACUCUACAACCUGUCGUAGCUUUGUCUACUACAGAAGCAGAAUAUAUGGCUGUGACUGAGGCAGUCAAAGAAGCCUUGUGGUUGAAGAGUUUAUUUAGCGAACUUAGUCUACAUCAAGGUGUUACUGUUAUUCACUGUGAUAGUCAAAGUGCCAUACACUUGACUAAAGAUCAGAUGUAUCAUGAGAGGACGAAACACAUUGAUGUAAAGUAUCACUUCAUUCGGGAUAUCAUUGCUGAAGGAAAGGUCCUUGUUCAGAAAAUCAAUACCAAGGACAAUCCAGCUGACAUGUUUACGAAACCUCUUCCAGUUUACAAAUUCAAGCAGUGCUUGGAUUUGGUUGGUAUUCAUUGUUGGUGAGUUACGCCCAUUGGGGCUUAUGUGGAGAAGGUGAAGUAAUUUUACUAUUGUCAAUGGUGGAACUAAAAUUAUUCCAAAGUGGAGAUUUGUUGAUUUGUCAAGCCGCAGCCGCAAUUCUUGACCUUGGAUGGCAGAAUUUUGCGUCCUACAUCUAAGAUCAGAAACGGAAGGCUUCCCUCUUGAUCCCUAUAAAUAGAAGAGGCCAUUGAACGUUUGAUGGGCACCACUCAAGAGAGUUAUAUGGGUUAUUAGUUUCUUGAGUCAUCUAUCCCAUUUAGUCAAAUAUUUUAGGUUCUCUUGUAUUGUGUUUAGGAAUAUUUCCUAAACCUUUUAUAAGUGCCUUUUGGCCUAGGAACCACUUUCCUACGGCUUUUGUAUUUCUUCUUCAUAGUAGAAAUAUUACUCCUCCCUCGCCCGUGGACGUAGGUCAAUUUGACCGAACCACGUAAAUCUCCUGUGUCUUUUAUCUACUUUGUUAUCCGUCUUUAUAUGGUCGGUUAUACCGCCUAAUUUGUACUAACUUUAGUUUGUUUAUUCCUGGGCCGGUCCUAACAUUAACUGGUUUCUCUUAACCGUGCUCUCUCUCUUUUCUCACUCACUCGAGUCUGUUUUUGAAAGAAAGUAAGAAAGGACGACAGCUUUGGUUUUGCUCUCAGCCACCGCCAAUUUUUGUUUCUUUACGCUGUUCUCAUUCGGUUAUUGCUUAUUCAGCAAUUUGGUGAUGCAUUCCCUCCUGACAGCCGUCUCAAUUCACCACCCAAUCUCAGUUAGAUCCUAACCUCCCACCGCUUGGAUUUAGCAGAUAAUUGCCUAGCUUCCAUUCGGUUCCAUUUGUUUUUGUGAAAUUCUGAUAGCUCAAGUAAUGGCCGCAUGGCAAUUAGUCUAGAAUUUUAAGGUUAGUUUGGUCUUUUGGUUGUAGUUUAAUUACUCUCUAAGUCCUGAAAUUUUUAUGAUUUUAUGCAUGAACUCCUAACUUCAUUUGUAUUUUCGUGGGAAAUUUCUUACAUUGAUUUUUAACACAUUUAGCUUUAAGAAAAACUUAUUAGACAUGUUCUUGUUACAUUUUUAGUAUAGGUUACGUGUCUAAUAAUAUUUGUAAUUAACACAAUUUACGAUAUGCAUGUCAUAUAUUUAUUUAAUUCGUAAAAUUUUCUACACUUCUAGACAUGUACUUAUUGAAUUUAUUUUCAAAAUUCUCAAUUUAUAGGGAUUCAAUUAGACAUUUAAGUUAACCGUUUAUUCGUUAUAUAAUUUUUCUCAUAUCAAUGUAAAUAAAAUAAAAUAAUUUUAAGGUAUACACAUAAUUUUCUCGGGUUCUCACAUCCUUCCCCCCUUAAAGAAAUUUCGCCCUCGAAAUUCAUACCUUCCAUUAUAAAGAGUUUCAAGUAUUCUUUUCGCAUCUUAUCUUCUAGUUCCUGGAUUGCUUCCUAUAUCUCUUAAAUGCAACCCUUGUAUAAUUCGUAAGGAAAAAUCGUUCAAAACGUCCCUCACAUUUUGUAAAAUGACUUUUUUCGUCCCUUACUUUUAAAAGUGUACUUUUACAUCCCUUACAAAUUCACGUUGGUCAAAUUUGGUCCCUAUCUAGGUUUCCGACUAGUUUUGGCUGGAAUUCAUCACAUGACUUGCAUGUGAUCAUUUUUAGGAGCAAAAUUUACAUAAUCCAUCUAUAGUCCCUUACAUUUCACAAAAUGAAUCGUUUCGUUCCUUACAUUUCACAAAAUAAAUUUUUUCGUCCCUCAGAUUUCUCAAAAUGAAUUUUUUUUAUCUCUCAUUGACCACGUGUACGAAUAGUUUUUAUUUUUUUUAAAUUCAUGAAUAUAUCUAUUUGAUUUUAUCUAAACAGUACAAAUAAUAUAUAAUAUAUCUCUAUUUGAUUUCACCUAAACAGAUCAAUAUGUACAUGGGUUUAAAUCUAAUAAUUUUGUUUUAAACCUAUAUAUAUAAAUAUAUAUAUAUAUAUGUGAUUUCACCAUGUGAAUCUAUUCAAUAUUUGUAAUGUUUUCUAUUUUAGUAAUAAUUCAUUUAUUGAGUUGUUUAAUAAGAGUAUCUAAUUAAUUGGUGUUAAUUUGAAUUCUAUAGUCAUGCUAACAAAUUACAAUUUAAAUCUAAAAUUUUUACUCGCUACCUUUAAGUCCAACAAUUGAAUUUCUUACCUUAUGAUUAUUUUAAAAUUUGAAAAUGUCAAUUACUUACUUCUUUUUGUGAUACUUUUGCUUUGUUUAUUUUUUCUGUCUAAAUUUAAUUCGAUAUAAAUACUUGAUAAUGUUUAGAAUUAAAUGUCUCCUUGGUUUUCAAUUUUCGAGUAAAAGGAUUGAAUAUGAGUGAAAAACUAACAAUUUUUUUAAACCCCUACAUAUAUAUAUAUCUAUUUUAAUUUCACAUAAACAGUAUGUUUAAGCAAAAAUUAAAUAGAUGUUUAUUCAGGGGAAGAUUAGAUGUCCUUGGCGAUUGCAGAAGGAGCUACGAGAACUGCAGCAAUAUGGACGGUAUGUUGAAGCCGUGUCUCAUUGCUAUCGGGAGGCAAACAAGUCGGCGGACAGGUUGUCUAACGCUGGAGUGGAGGAUGGGCAUACUAUCGUUUAUGAGGGUUAUAGUGCUUUACCGAGGUUGGUGAGGGGGGACAUUACCUUGGAUGUGUACGGGUUCCCAAGCUUUCAUAGGUGCCGGUGGUAGGGGGUGGUGGGUUUGGUCAGGGUUUUGAAUUUGUACUCCUGGAAAUGGGUUGGACCCGAUCUGGGUAUGUUUGUUGGUUGCAGCAAUAAAAUUUUUAUUUUAAAAAAAAUAGAGAUAUAUUACAUGCUAUUUGUAUUGUCCAUAUAAGAUUAAAUAGAUAUAUAAAUUAGUUUAAAAAAAAGUUAUUCAUACACAUGAACAAUGAGAAAUGAAAAAAUUUAUUUUGUAAAAUAUGAGGGAUGAAAAAAUUCAUUUUUGUGAAAUGUGAGGGACAAAACAAUUCAUAUUGUGAAAUGUGAGAGACUAUGGAUUGAAUUAUGUAAAUUUUGAUUUGACAAUUUUGCCCUUAAAAAAUGAUCAUGUGCAAGGCACGUGGUGGAUUCCGAUAAAAAACUAAUCGGAAACCUAGAUAGGGACCAAAUUUAAUCAAUAUAAAUUUGUAAGGGACGUAAAAGUACACUUUUAAAAGUAAGGGACAAAAAAAGUCAUUUUGUAAAAUGUGAGGGAUAUUUUGAACGAUUUUCCCAAUUCGUAAUGGAUAAUUUUACCUCCCAUUCCCUAGGUUGAUUUACAUUCCCAACCCCUUGAUCCUGUCGGGGUGCUAUACACUCUAAAAGGUCAGUCAUCCGAUUUAAAGCAGUAGCUACUAGAUCACUUAUAUGGGUUCCUUGUUCCUGGUUCUAGUUAACUGCAAAUUCCUGCUCUUCCCCUUGCUCUUGGGUUUGCCUAGGUUUACGGCUUCGUCGUCGUGGUCCGACUUCUAUAUCUCACUACCAAUUUAUAUACAUAAUUGACAAUUAACAACAUAUACUUAGGUUAACAAGCAAUCUCAAUCCAAAAGCUAGCAAAUCCAUCAAAGCAAUCCAAAAGCUACAUAUACAUAUCCAUCCGUCAAGUUAAUUUGGGAUUUUUUUUUCCAUGGGGUGAUUUAGACAAAGUUGAAAGAUAAAUUACUCAAUACUUGAAUCGAAAUCCGAUUGGUAAAAAUUUGUUCGAUCUUAGUUUCCCAAUUAAUCAAGCUAAAUUUGAACAGCGUUUUAUGUUCUAUAACAGUCAAAUUUGAUAUAAAACUUGUUCAAACUCGAUUUGACAAAUAAACAAACCAAACUCUAAGGAUAAUAGCCAAUAUAAUUUUGGAAUGAUAGUGGACUCUAAUUAAAAUCCAUCCUUCAAGUUAAUCUGGGAUGUUUCUUUCCAUGGAGUGAUUUAGGAACUCUAGGAUCCAACCGCAAAUGCGAUAUCAAACUUUGAGAGACAAACUUCACUAAACGCAACCAAUAAUUGAAUAAAAAAAACAAAUGCGUUGGAUAUAUUUAAGAAAAACUUAUUAAUUAGGAUUUCCAGUCACAGAGCUGCAACUAUUUCCGCCAUAACAUUAGCGUCUUUCCCUUAUAUAUGAUAUAUUUAUUUCAUCAUUGCUUUCAGCAUCUAUUUCAUCUUUGUUUCCUACUUUUCUUUCAAAAUAUUUUACCAUACAAAAAUUUCUUUAUUCAUACUACAAAAUCCAUCCUAACUUGAAAAAAUAUUUGAAUUAGGGUUCACACUUUGCGAAAACCUAAUAAGCAAAAGAUAGUGUAUGAUUGAAAUAACGUAGAAGGAGAAAAGAUUAAACAAAUCAAAUCUGUCUUCCAAUUAAUUUUGCAGCAAAUCAGUGGGGAACCACCAAUUUCAGCACAAAAUAUAAUGAUAAACAGAGGGAGAAAAGAAGAUGAAGUACUUUUUAUGAUGAUUUUGUUACAAACUAAAUAUUUGUUAAUUAAAUAUUUUGAUAAUCAAUACAGGCUUCAAUAAGCUACUCAUUUCUAGCAAUGAAAUGGCACAAUAUGGUAAGCCAUCAAUUUAAACUCAGUUUAUACUGAAAGUAUAUAGAAGAUUUACUCUUUUAGCUCAUUGCAUUUGGUGUCAUUUGCUCCGUAAAAGAGUUAAAGUGUUUUAGUGUGAACAUGUAUGCAAUUGAAGCAGUCAAUAGUAGUUCUAUACUUCUCAUAAUGGCUCCAACCCUCACCUCCAAUGUGUUUUCCUUUUCCUUUUCUUUUUGUGCUUUUUAUGUGUCUCUAUGGCACCCAAUUUUUUUUAAAAAAAAACCAAGCACAUAUUUUAAUACUACCAAAAAGAAGGGAAAAAAUGCUUGGGUAGAAAUAGUUUGUCGACUCAUUUGUAGACCAUAUUGGUAUUCAAGAAUAAUUACUUUUGACAUACGAUGACAUACAAAAAGUGGUAGUUAUCAUGUCUGAAGAUGCAGGAAAAUUAAUGUAUCUCUUAAAAAUGUAUAUGAUUCACAAGUAAACUCAUAUACCAAGAACCUACUAAAGUGUUUUUCAAAGAGAAAAAAAAUGAAAAAAUAAGUGUCCUACCAAUAUAGGACCUAACACUCUACCGACACAACCCCCAAAAAAAAGGAGAGAUUGAAACUUGAUUUGCCAAUAUGUCCAAAAUUGUAUCCCUCAUUUAUGCUUGUGUGAGGAACCAAAAAACAUUUAUAACAAAGAAUGUUGAUUGAAAAGGAACUAACAAAUAAGAUAUGGAGCACUUUGACAUUCAAUCAAUAGCAACCAUGUCAACUUGUUGCAUAAUGCGCGCAGUUUUUUGACUUCCAAUCCAUUGUAUUUUGCUUCUUUUGCUCAUGACCCUACGCACGUGGUAUAUUGAACAAUCUGACUUGCUUAAUCUAGCAAGUGGUGCCUGUCCAUAUGCAUCAAUGUCUACUACUUGACCUGUACCACUGAGCACCACUCACUGAGUUCAUAUUAUUGAUUGAUAAAGUUGAUCUCAGAAAAAUAUUAAAAAUAAAUCAUUAAUUUAGGGAUCGAGACCUCAUAAGUUGAAUUUCUAUCUAGUUUAUGUAGUUCAAACUGACUAUUAUAAUUCUUAUAAUAUUUAUUGUAAACUCACGUAGUUUAGAUGUAAACUUGAAUCUAUCAACUUAUACAACUAAAUUGAUGCACAGUUUAUAAUUACUUCAAAAUUGAACUAAGUUUAUACCAGAAGUUAUACAAAUUAUAAUAAUCAGUUUGAACUCGACGUAUUUUAACUUGUGAGGUCAGAUCCCUAACACAGACUGAUUUUUUGCUAUAUAUACAUGUCAUCUUUACUCUUUUCAAACACGAAUUGCAAAGAGAUUAAAGAUUGGAAAUGGCUAAAUCUCAACUGAUCAGCUACAAGACCUUGGUUGCAGUCCUCUUCUGCUUUCUCCUCAUUGCUUCAAUCGGUUAGUUGUCAAAAACUUCCACUAUUUAUACCAAACUUUGCAGUGAAUCACGCACCUGAAGUCAUUCUUUAUUCCAAUUUCCCAAGUAUGUAAUGCUCUGGCAUGUUGUCAUUUAUCAAUAUUACCAUUACAUAACAAAAUUUUAAAAAGAAUCAGUAUAGUACUUAACUACUAAUAAUAGUCUUAAGUCCAAGACAGAUUAUCAAAGUUGGAUAUAAAAUGCAACUCUCUUACACUACAUAAACUAAUGGAUUUUUUUUUAUUUUCUGAAAUGCGGUCAUCAACUUUUUCUUUUCUGUCAACCGGCAUUUAUAACUUAGCCCCUCACUUGUUCUCGUUCUUUACUUAGGCCUACUAUACUUCCUUAUGAAAAUUAAGAGUUGUAUGAAAACCACAUAUUUACAUUAAUCUUUAGGGCCCUUUAGAAACUAUUAGAAAGGGUAAACUUGAUUUAGCUUUACUAAGCAUCAUGCUCUGAUCGCAUAAACAAAAACAAUUAACAUAAAAUCUGAAAAUUUUUAACAUGUUCUUGCUUAUUGUAUACAGAGUUACAGAUGGCGGAGGCAGUAGGAAAAAUUUGCUCGAAGCGCAGCCAGACAUGGACUGGGAUAUGCAUAAAAACUGAGAAUUGCGACAGCCAAUGCAAGAGUUGGGAGGGAGCUCAGCAUGCAGCUUGUCACAAAAGCGGCUUUGGAUUUGCUUGCUUCUGUUAUUUUAAAUGCUGAGGGAAAUCUCCAUCUUUGGUUCCAUUAAAACUGUCUGUGUUUCCUGUUUCUGGAGUUACAAAAAGCUAGCUGCUGCACAUUCCCAAGAUUUGCAUGUAGAAAAUGGGAACAAAUGCUGUACUAGGCAUAACUAUGAACGGCCAGAGUAGUUUUACUGUUGCUAAAUAAGGAUAUGGCGUUCCUGUUUGAUCUAUUUGUUAAUGUUAUUUCUUGUUAUCCUAAUAUUGGAAUAUUAUGCAAGAAUCUUGUAUUGAAUUUUAUUUUCUAAUAUAAAAGGUCAUGUAAAGUCGGCUGCCGCAGAUGACCAUGGCAAGGUGCCAGCGAAAGUGAUUGGGAAGACGUCUACCUUGCGGCUGCAGAUGGGCGCGGCUGAGCCUCAAGCGGGACCGAUAAUUACGAACCUUGUUCCUAUCAGCACGAAGGAUAAUGUGGGAGGGCACUCCAACGAGAGUCUUGAUGGGGCAGUUAUGCGACCACCCACUAUUGAUAUGCAUCCAGAUUUUGCUGUGGGGAAGAGUGUCGCGGCUGACAGUCAGGCAAUGGCCGCCGUGGAAGAGACAAGCGAAGGGGAGGUGACUGCCCUGCCUGGGACUGGUGAGGGGAGCAUCAAAUCUAGAGGAAAGGGGAUGGCAAAGGAGGCUGGUAGGGUGCAAGCAGAAGGGCGGACAGCAAGGGAUUUAGCGGACGCACUGAGGAACUACAGGAAACUCAGCGACGGGUGGGAAAUUUAUCCCCUAGGGGCGGAUGUCACAGGAAUGCUGUUCAAGGGGAGGCAUCGCUGCUGGAAACAUUGCAUAUAGACCCGGUGGUGAUCUCUGGCAGCCAUGCGUAGGAGAAAACGGGACUCAAGGAGAUGUCCUUUGCAAAGUCGCGAGUAUUCGUUCAGGUUUCCCUUCUGAUAGAACUCUAAGAUCUAUGGUGAAUGCAUCAACAAAUUCCUUCUCUGUCUUAUCUGAUGAUUAAGUUGCUUUUUUGGAAUAUAAGGGGAGUGGCUUGAGCUCCUAAUUUAAAAAGACUGAGGAAACUUAUCAAACUGUACUCAUUACAAUUGGUGAUAAUUGUUGAACUAAAGACCGGGUUGGAGAAUAUUACUGAUAUUAGACUAAAGUUGGGGAUGGACUGUUGCAUAACCAAUCAAUGGGGUUCUGUUUGGGUGUUUUACUGGUCUUUGUUUAACUGUCAGAGUAUCGGGAAGUCGCCCCAAAAUUUAACUAUUCAAGUACAAUCUCACCUAUUUCCAACUUCCAUUAGUUUGUCAUGUAUUCAUACUAAGCACACGGACCAAGAAAGUGAAUUCAAUGUGAUUACAAAUGAGAGGGAAAAAAAGUGCGGUUUGCCAUUCACACCGACGGAAAAAUUGGAUUUCUUGAAUUUCAUGUCAGUGGCGGGAGUGAGUGAUGCAGGGUACUCUGGGUCGAGGUAUACUUGGUAUAAUAAUCACUCGGGUGCAGCUCGGAUUUGGAAGCGCCUUGACAGACUACUAAUAAGUGAGUUAGCUUUGGAGAUGCAGCAACAAGUCAUGGUCCAGCAUUUGAGGCAUGAUCCAUCAGAUCACUCCCCAUUACUACUCUCAGGGGUUACGAGGUUGGACAAUAAACCUAGGCCAUUUCGCUUUUUGAAUGUUUGGACCACACAUAAGGACUUGUUGGGGUGGUUAAAGAUUGCUGGUCUCAAUCGGUCAGUGGGUGUCCCCUGCAUAUACUGGCAACGAAGCUUCGGAAUGUUAAACAAUUCCUCAAAUAAUGGUCUAAGAAUUUGUUUGGUUAUAUUUUUGAGGUAGCUCGAUGCACAAAGUGCAAGGUAGUGGAUGCCGAGAUGAAAUAUGACCUGAAUUCCACGGAUCAACUGUGCUGUGAGCUGCAUCAUGCUCGAGGGCGGCUGCGGAGCGCGCUGACACUCGAGGAAGGUUUUUGGAGGCAGAAAGCACGGGUGAAAUGGCUUUUGGACGGGGAUAGGAACUCCAAAUUCUUUCACUCAGUGGUAGCAGAAAGUAGACGUCGGGCGGUGAUUCAUCGGAUUAGGAAGGCAGAUGGAGAGUGGAUCGAGGAGGAGCCACAGAUUGGUGAUGCGGCGGUAAGCUUCUUCCAGGAGCUUUUCACGACAGAGGGAGGCUCGACAUCCAAUGAAAUUUUGAAGUUCAUUCCAGAACUGGUCACUGCCCAGGACAAUUCGCUGUUAAUGGAUUCCUUCUCUUCAAGACAUCAAGGACACAAUCUUUGCACUGGAUGAGGAGAGCGCAGCGGGCCUAGACGGAUUCACAGGGAAAUUCUUCACCUCCGCAUGGGAGAUGGUAGCCACGGAUGUGUACAUGGCGGUAGUGAGCUUUUUCUGCGGUGCUGAGCUCCCUCGGAGUAUCACAGCUACCUCAAUUGUUCUACUGCCAAAGGUGGAAAACCCACAAGACUUUACUCAGUUUCAGCCCAUAAGGCUGUGCAAUUUUGCUAACAAAAUCAUCUCCAAGUUUCUAUCGGAGAGAUUGGCUAAGAUAUUACUCCGGAUCAUAUCUCCACAGCAGAACGGUUUUGUGCAAGGGCGAUAGAUUGCGGAUAAUUUUUUGCUAGCUCAGGAGUUAUUAACAAAUAUCAAGAAGACAAAUCAAGGUGGUAACGUGGUGAUUAAAUUAAACAUGAUGAAAGCAUACGAUAGAGUCUCAUGGUAUUUUCUUCUGCAAGUGCUUCGUCACUUCGGGUUCAGUGAGACCUAGAUAGACAUGAUAUGGCACCUGGUCUCUAAUGUCUGGUUUUAGGUAUUGGUUAAUGGCUCUCCACAAGAUUUUUUCAAGUCUUCAUGGGGCUUACGACAAGUGGAUCCCAUAUCGCCAGCCUUAUUCGUUAUUGGAGCAGAAGUGUUGUCUCGAGCCCUAAAUGCUUUAGUCACACAGAGGCUAUUCACCCCUUUUAAACUACCUCUUCCUUGCCCUGUAGUAUCGUACUUGGCGUAUGAUGAUGAUGUUAUCAUAUUCUCCAGUGGUAUGAGAUCUUCUCUAAAAUUGAUUAAAAGGGUACUGGAGGAAUAUAGCGUUGCAUCAGGCCAAUGGAUCAAUCCCCAAAAAAGUUGCUUCUUGACUCAUCCGCGGUUUCCGUCACAGAGAGCAGCAUUGAUUGGAUAGGUACUUGGGUUUCCAAAGCAAGCUUUCCCGAUACAAUAUCUAGGAUGUCUGUUGUACGUAGGAAGGUGAAAAAAGGUUUACUUUGCAGAUAUAUAUAAUGCAGUGGCGGCUCAUAUCCUAUCAUGGAAGAAUCAGGUUUUGUUAGCCGGAGAUAGAGUGGUAUUGAUUAAGAUUGUGUUAUCCUCAAUGCCGAAUCAUUUGCUCACAGUUUCUUCUCCUCCAAAGGGGAUAUUCAUGGCAUUGGAGAAGUUAUUUGGAGAAGUUCCUUGAGGGGGUCAUCUGAUUUUGGUACUAAAUUCCACUAGAUGCGGUUGAAAGAUUUGUGUCGGCUGCGGGAAGAGGGGAGUAUUGGUCUACGUGGUAUUAGGGAGGUCUACGACUUAAUUUCGAUUAAACUCUGGUGGAAAUUUAGACAACAGCAGUCGCUAUGGGCAGAGUUUAUGUCAAGAAAUUAUUGCGCGGGGUUGCAUCCUUGUCUAGCUGAGGAUAGCCAUUGGAGUUCCCAUACGUGGAGAAGGAUGGUUGCGGUGCAGCAAGUAGGGGAGGACCACAUUAGCUGGAUCGUACAGCAAGGAUCGAUGGAUUUUUGGCAUGACAACUGGAUGAGAUCAGGAGUCUUAUGCAACAAGGUGGAGAUCUUUCAUGACCAUUUGGUGGCUGAUUUUGUCGAUCAGCGGGGGCUGGAAUGUCGUCAUGCUUAGUCAGUAUUUGGAUGCGGCUCUGGUAGGGUGAGUUCUGGAGGUUGCACCCCCAUCCUUUCUGGGCAAUGAUAGAAUGGUUUGGACCUUGACAAAUUCUGGCACCUUUUCCACAUCAUCGGCCUACUCACUUGUCGAACGGGUUACUAACAGCUCAUGGCUUUCUGCCUUUGUCUGGCAGCAGUCUUCCAAUUAAAAUCUCUUUCUUUAUGCUAUGACAGCUGCAGGGCGGGCUCUCUCUUACGGACCAAUUGAGGAGAUUUGGGAUAAGCGGCCCUUCUAGGUGUUGGUAUUGCCAGGAUCCACAGGAGGAGGACCUGAAUCAUGUUUUUUGUUCAGGAGAAGGGGAAGAUUGGUUUGGCAUCAUUUCGAGAUUAAUAUUGGUGAAAUGAGGGAGUGAAUACGGUGCGACAUAUGGUAUGGUUUUGGUGGUUAAGGAGAGGGGAUAACAUAUUUUUGAAGUUUUUGAAUAGUGUUCUCCCGUCGGUGAUUUGCUGGGAAUUAUGGAGGACAAAGAACAGGAGGGUUUUUGAAGGACGGAGAAUGAGGGUCAGGGAGACUGUGAGUCGGAUAGUCCAACUACUAAGUGACAUCUUUCAUGUACAGUUCCCGAGGAUUCAGUGGUCAGAUUCCUAGUGGGAAGGGAUGCUUCGAGAGUUGGUUAACCGACAAAAGAGGAUGAUCAUUCAGUCGGUCAGCUGGGUAUCCCCGCAGGGGGGUACAAGUUAAAUUCGGAUGGAUGUUCUCUGGGGAACCCAGGAUUGAGUGGAGAAGGUGGUCUAGUGCGUGACUGUCUAGGUAAUUUUGUAUUUGGUUACUCGGAGCACUUUGGGACAAUGACUAGUCUGCAUGCGGAGCUUCGGGCACUGCUACUUGGCAUUAGAUACUGUAUUGCUCGAGAAUACUUGGAGUUACACUUAGAGGCGGAUUCUCUUACCCUUAUUUGGAUCGUUCAAGGGGUUAGUGCUUGCCCAUGGCAGUUGUAAAGGGAGCUAGAUGAGUUGCUUAUAUUUAAACAACAUUUUCAAAUGAUUUCACAUUGUUACAGGGAAGCGAAUGCUCCAGCUGACCGUCUUGCAAAUUUGGGUGCUGAUUCUAACGCAGGUCAGGUGUUUAAUAGGUUUUCAGAUCUACCACGGUUGGUCAGGGGGGAUAUUAGAAUGGAUAAGUUAAGGUUUCCAUCAUUUCGUAGACAGGUAAUUGGUUAUCUGUGAAUGUAUCCAGCCAGUGUAAGCAUGAUUACAACUUUAAUGGAAAGUUCAAUUUUUUCAAAAAAAAAAAAAACGGACAAAAGCACUCUUCAUGUCCGGUUUGGCCAUUGUAUUGAAUGGAGUGAGAUGUGAUCGUACAUGAAGUAUCUAAAUAAUUUUGGGAUAUGAUGUAUGUGAAAAAAACUAUUUUUUGGAAUAUUAUUUAUAUAUCAAUUAUGUUUGGUACUUUUUUCUUUACUCUUUACUUUGUUCCAUUUUACAUUUUUCUUAUUCUUUUCUGUCUUGUAUGACUACUUAUUUUAAUUUUUUAGUAUUAUUAUUCGUAUAGUAUUUUUAAUGAACUUCAACUUAUUCUCUUUUCAUCUCUUUUCUAUGUUCAAUUAUUAGUAGUAACAAUAAUUGCAAAGCAUAUUUUGUAUGGUAUUCAAAUUAUUUAGGUACAUUUAAAACAAAUGAGCUCAUAACAAAUCUAAUUACUAGUAGUAAAGUGGCAAUUAAUAAGAUUAAAAUAAAAACAAAAAUAUUAGUAGCAGUAUAUUAUUCGUUAACGACACUUUUUUAGAAAUUUUUUACUCAUUUGAGAAGAUAAAAUUUUUGUACUUUUUGUUUUCUUUUUGGAAAACAAAAUUAUUCUAAAUAAUAUUUUGCUUACAUUACAAACACAAUUUGCAAUCAACUUUUUAUUUUUCCAAUCAUCUUUUUUUUUACAUACAUCACAUCCCAAAAAAUACUACAAUAGUUAUUUCAAAUAAUUUUCUUCUUGGAUUGUGAAUAGUCCAUGAAGUGCAUAGAGGUGCUAUUCUUCCACACCUACAUCUUGAAUAGAAGUUUGUUGCUUCAUAUGCAUUGCUUGAGCUACAACUGUUAGGAUUGUGCUCCAUGUGUGUAGAAGACUGUGCAGCAUCUGUGAAGAAAAGGAAAUAAAGGAUGUGAUGAAGAUGAUAAUAAAUGAGCAGAAGGGACAAGUGAUGGUAGGUGGAGAUAGCCAUUUAUACUCAUUUGGAAGGAGGGCAAUUUUGUCAGGAAAUUUCAACAGACAGAGCUUGCAAGACACGCGCUUUGUUUGACCAUGAAAUUUGUGAAUGAUAGUUUUCUUAGGGUGCAAAGUGCCUAUAAACAUACUUUGGGAUGUAUUGUGCAAUAGUUAUAAAAGUUCAUGACAGUUUUUUGCAUUUAACCUUUAUUUUUAUCUUCUGCACAAGAACUGUAUUGAUCAAAACUUUAAAACAUGGAGGUUUUUGACUUAAUGGGAAUUAGGUUGUUUGUUAGAAAGAAGAUGCAAAAUGGACUAGAGAAAGGUGGAGGCGGUUUGGGAUGUUAAGAUUGGUCGUUGAUGGAAAUUUGUUUUGAGAAAGCAUUGAGGUUGAAUUUCUUUGAAAGAUUAGUGUCUGUUUAGGGUGAUAGUUUUGGGGCAAGGUGAAGAGCCCUGGUUGGGAUUUUUUGGCCGCUGGAUUGGUUUGAUUAUAUUGGAUCGAAUUUGGGUUUUCUAUACCGGCAGAAGUGUGGGCCUUCCAACCUACUUACUUUAAUCCUUAAAGGAUUCCCUUGAUUGGGAAUAUAUUAUAAUUAAGAUUUAAUAUUAGCAAUUAGGAGUGAUCUUUACCUAUAACUAUCCAUUUAAUAAUAGAAGAAAAGGGCAGCUUCCACACCACAUUAAAAAAAAAUGCAAGCUUUAGUUGGCGAAGCGCUUGAGCACUUAUGAAGCUUGGGUUGACAAUUGGAUAUCCAGCACUGAAAACCGUCUUUACAUUGGAUGGUUUGAUCUUUUGAUGAUCUGUAGGUUGUUUGGAACAUAAAUGGUUCAAGGAGUCGAGGAAGGAAUUAGGAAAAUUUGUUUUCUCCUUUUUUCUUUUCAAUGUAAAAAAGGUAAUUUAUGAUAUUUGAAAAAAAUUUUAGUUUGACAUUAAAAGUCAGGGAGGUUUGUGCAAUUUUAAAAAUUUGAGAUGAGCAACAUGAAAUUUUUAGAAACCACAAGGAAGGUUCUGAAAUUAUUCCCUAAUAAUAAGCUUGUGGUCUGUACUUUUUGAGAAAUUUUAUUCAAUGUAGUAGGGGGCAGGGUCAGAGCUAUUUACAUUUGAGGGUGGGUAAUUGCUCCCUCAAAUUUUUAAAAUUCCCUUUUAUACCUUACAAUUAUUGUCAAUUGUAUUUUUAUUUAGUUAUAGUUUAACAGUUUGUACCCUCUCAAACUACAGAAAUUGUGUAUUGCACCCCCACAAACAAAAUAAUAGUGGGUACUUACUAAAAUUUAAAUUAAUCAAAACCCCAUUAUAAUAAGAAACAAGUGAAGCAAAAUCCAAAAAAUAUGAAAUAAGAUAAUACAUGUAUAAAAAGUCAAAUGAUAUGAUAUUAGAUUGAAAGAAAUAUUAAAGGGAUAGCCAAUUAUAUUUAUUGUAUUGAAGAGAUAAAAGAGCUAAUUAUGGGGAAAGAAGAACAAAAAAAAAUACACGUAGAAUAUUUCUACGUUACAAAAGAUUUCUCAGAAUAUUUCUUUGUUUGCUAAAUUUGAAUUAUGCUAUACUAUUACUUCUUUAUUUGGUUGAUUUAUUAACUCACUCUCUGAUUAUUUGUAAUUGUAUAACUUAUUUGGGUAUUAAAUACACUGCAAUUUAAUACUCACUGAUUGUGCAUAUAAUUUUGUAAAACACAAAUACUAGUUAUUCAACUAACUAAUAAAACACGAAGAAAUGCUAAUUCUAAUUUUGCUUUUCAAGAAAACAUUUCUUAAGAUUAGUCGCAUUAUGCUAACUAUCAAUUAAUAGUACAAUAUAUUACCCAUCAUAUAAGAAAUUAGGCGUUUUCGCAUCUUGUAGUUGUCCAUACCAUCAAGAUAGUUGUUUUGAGCCUUGACCAAUUCCAACUACCAUCAAUAUUGUUGGCUCUCAAUUCAAUCCUUAUAUUGACCAACAACAAACAAUUGUCCCUCGUGAUUUUGGUCAUGACUCCACCAUUUUGGUCGUGACUCCGCCAUGCUUUGUUUCACUUACGAGUUACAAAGGAGGAAACAAAGAAAGGAAAUACAAAAAAUUUCUCAUCCUUUUGUUUUUUAUGCAUGCAUACGUACAAUCGUGCCAUUCCUUGGAAAUUUGCUCAUACCACACUAUUGUGCUAUUUUCUCUGAAAUUUUCAACAAUCAUGCGAGCAGUAAGAAACUAUUUCUAAAGAAAUGGCACUAUCAAAGAUAUAUUGACUUAUAUAUUAUAAUCAUGCUGAAGCUCCAAGGAAGAUUACUUGACAAAGAAACGUUGGGGAAGAAUAAUUUUAUCUGAACGACUUUUUUAGUGGCAUAUAUUAUGUCUUGCACACAGGCAAUUAAAAUUUGAAUAUGGAAGUUGAAGAUUAAUACCUAAUUACCCCGUGUGCUUUUGAAUUAAAAGGAUGAAAGUUUUGUUUCCAAGAAUGGCAUUUACACAAGGAGGCGUCACCUAAUAUUUACAUCCAGCUACAAUAUUUCAGUUUUACUCUAAUAGUAUCUCGAGGCAUCCUUUUAGAGCAAAACUAGAGAAAGUAUUUUUUUAUAUAUAAAAUAUCAUCAUUCAUUAAAUCUGUACUAAUAAUAGAAAUUACAUCAACUAUACACAGAUACAAAUAGAUUUGAAGAAGAAAAUUAGAUACUACAGAUGUGAAAAGUCAAGAGAAUAUUAUAGGGUGAAAUUCAGAAAAUCUUUAAAAGAUAAAGGGCUUGUACUCCCAUGAUCAUCUAUCUGUGCUUCCAAUUGCACCACUUACUUUCUCCUAAAUCUGCUAAUAAACUGAUUCAAAUUCAAAUGUUAAUGUGAAAUCUGACAAGAUUAAUUAAGGAAUCUCAAUUCGACAAUAGAAUCUGAGAAAAUUUAGAUCAAUAAGAGAAAUAUAAACUAACAAAACUCUCAUUAGAAAUUCUUAGAAAAGAAUAGACUUCGUUAGAAAACUCUACGAGAGAAAGUGUCUGUUUCUUGUUGUAAAUGUUUCACGCAACUUGAUAAUUUGACUCUCAUUUAUUAUAACAGCCUGAUGUGUGUUGCGUAUUGGUGUUGUGUGAACAUUACUAUGGAUGCAAAGUUUGAUUUGGUAGAGCUAAUAUAAUACAUGCGUGGAUCGAAAUGAAGGACACUAUAUUACCAUUAGUCAACUAUCCAAACUUAUUACUAAUUAGCGUACAGGUUUGGUGUAGUUGGCAGGCUACCUCUAAUAUUAUAUUGUCUGCGACUUUGUCUCCUCAAGAUAAUCGAGACGGGAUCAAAUAAUAGUUAUUAUAUCAGGGUUAAGAACUAUUUCCAAUUAUUUACCAAACUAGGUUUUCAAGAUUACCAGUGAAUACUAUUUCUUUUUUCUUUUUCUUUUGCAUUGGAGAGCUAAAAUCCAUAAUGACGUAACCAAACUCUUAGAGUCAGAAUCAACUAAUUAAAAAAAAAAUAUUCAAAGUUCCAAAAACUCUAAUACAUGUCAAAGUUACACAAGAUUUUUUUUCCAUCUCUCUCCACACCUUUUCCAUCUCCAAUUGGCAGGCAUGAUAUUUGAACCCUGAAUCUAACAGUAGAAAAGAUUUUGAGUGCAGUGAGUAGACUAAUCUCUCAAACAAUCGAUCAAAACAAGAUUCUUCAGUGGUAAGCCUUCAAGUAAUUGAUGAAAUAAGCACCAGAUCUCACAAGAUCUUUCUCAAGAAACAAAAUUUUAAAGAGUUUUUCCUGUAGUUUAAUUUUUAGUAACAAGUAAUGGCAUAUUUUACGAACACAAGGCGUUUGAAGAAGUGAAAGACAUUGAACUAAAGUAAUUACGUGCAAUAAACUGUGAAAAUUAGGGGCUGAAAUUAGAAAACGAUUCUUUCGAAGGAAGACAAAAGUAUGCGUUAAUCCUUAACAGGACACUGACAGCGAUUUAGAAUAACACUAUGCGGCGAAGGAUGUCCAAAUUUAGUUCCCCACAAUUAUUAAGACGGUAGGAAAUUAAGCUAUCUUUUGAUCUGUUCAAAUUUUGUACCGGUCCUAAUGCUAUUAAUUAUGUCCUUGGAUAAGUGAUGUUUGCUGAAUGUACCGGUCCUUAUUCUAUUCGUACAUUUCCUUUUGUUUGAUCUUCCACGGAUAUGAAUGAUUCAAAUUUCAACGUAUAUCAAGUUGUUGAAAAGCUCGCUAUAUGUGCCCUGCUAUAAAUUCUUAUCAUCCUUGAUUUUUUUAUUCCACGCGCUUGGUAAAAUACAAAUAAUGGACAUGGUUAAAUCUCAAGAAAACUUAAAUAGAUCAUAGGUAAAAAGAAUUCUAAAAGCUUAUAUUUCAUCUUCCUUUACUAGAUAGUCUUGGUUGUCAGAAAAUAAAGCACAAGAAUGUCCAUUGAAAACUUGAGGGAUAUGGGGUUCAAGUUUCAAUCCUCAAUAUAAAUUUUGGACAAUGUACAUAUGUAUGUAUACAUUUAUAUGUGUGUGCAAACUGUAUAUGUAUCAUGCAUGCAAUAGCUCAAUUAUCAGCAUUCCAUUGCUGCCGUCCUUCCUGCCUUGUGGCUUCUACAUUCGAAAUUGAUGUACCAAAAUUCGGCAUGCGUCCAUCGAUUGUAUGUGAAAAUGAUGUAACCGUCGAUCCCGCAACCAGAUGAGUUUAUACUUAAGCUUUGCGACAUUAUGCUAAUGUUCAUUAUCUUUUCCACUAAAAGAGGUUAGAAAUUGCUGGACUUAAAAAUUUCAAAUCUUAAUGAUGUUGAUGCUCUAUUUAAACUCCUUUCGUAAGCUAAUUCUGACUUAGACUUUGUCUUAAUUCUUUGAUAUUUGUAGCUUUCUCUUAACAACUCAGCGAUAAGAAGUUUCAACACAACUACCGAUUAGGUUUUGGCAAAUUGCACCAUCUCUUGCUAUAAAUAGUUAUCAUCAUUAACUUGUGUUCUCACAAGCAUAGCUAACAUAAGAUAUCGGAGAUGGCUAAAUCUCAAUUCAGCUGCGCAACCUUCUUUGCCCUGCUCAUCUGCUUCCUCCUCCUCGUACCAAAUAGUAAGUUGUAGCUAGUCUUUAGUAAGAGAGUUUACACUUCUAUAGUCUUAAAUGGUGAACACGUGCAUAGAAUGGCGUAUAUUUGUACAUUCCCAAAGUUUUAAUUAUUUGUCUCUACCUCUCUCUUAGUUAGAGAACUUCGAGUAGAACAAACAGAAAUGGUUGUCACUAGCAACGAAUUAGAAUAGUUAUAAGUGUGUAUCAUGUAUAUGUACACUCACAAUCAAAAUUUUACGAACUAAUUUGUAUUACAUAUGCGCCGUAUGCUUUUCAAUAAAUGUUUUUGCUUAAAGUUUAGCCCUGUACUCUGCUUUUGAAUUUUCUCUCGCGCUUUCUAAUUUCUCGUGACAUGUAAUUAUACUGCAAGUAUACAUGUAUAGUGUUGCGAAUAACAAUACAUGUGGCAUAAAAAUAGAAAAUGGGAUAAAGAUUGACACAAAAAAUGACAUAGAGGAACCAUGCCCUGUAAUACUAACAAACACCUAUCCCUUAGGUGGACGGGCUAGAUCCCUGAUAUAUACCAUACACUUUGGACUAACUCUAAUGUUUUGCUUUGUUUCAUGCAGAGAUGCCAAUGGCUGAAGCUUCAUUUUGCAAGAGGCUUGCCAAGAACUGGUCCGGGGAUUGUUCCUCUGACAGGUGCUACAAUUAUUGCAAGUAUACAGAGCAUGUUUACUCCGGAGAAUGUAAUUGGAAUGGCAAUGGUCAGCAUCGUUAUUAUGCUUGCUACUGUGUCUACAACUGUUGAAAGCCUACUAUUUUCUGCAAUUUGCAACGUACUUUGUAUUCAAAUAAAGGCGAACAAUUCACUAGAAUUGCAUAUGUGCCGCCAAUAGUUGUUGUUCCUAUGUCAGUUGCUAAUAACGUACGGUGCUGUCUGUGUUAUCAUUGAAAAAUCACUGCUCAGUGAUAACUUAAUCAGUCUAUCCAUGUGUGUCUGUUGCGAUCUGUCUUGUAUUCAUUUAAAUAUAAAUGGACUACCUCUGUCCAAGUAUAAGGGUCAUCUUCUGUGAUUUCAACUUGUUAUGAGUACAUGUGAUUAUUAUGUUUGGACUCUGAUAAACACCAAAAAUAUCUGCUAAAGAAUUGGAUGCAAAAAAAAAAGUCUAAUGAAAAAAAAGAAAGAAAGUCAUAUGCACAACCAAUAUUCUCCAUGAAAAACAAAAAAUAAACACUGAUUGAAAUAUAAAAAUUGGCCUUGAAAAUCUUGCACUCCCUAUGUGCCAUAUUUGAGGUUUUUUUUUUUUGUUUUUUGAAAAUCAAACUUUUUAAGAAAAAAAAUGUAAUUAUUAAGUUUGAAUGUACUGAUUUUGGAUGAACCUUAAACAUGGCCCUCACAUGGAGUGUAGUGGCACGCAAAAGGUAUUUUUUUCAAAUGGUAAAAUGGAAAGUUGUGUUGAUUUUGAAAAGAUGACCCUUUGUUUGGAAUAUCCAAAAGGUGAAAACAUGACACUAAAAAAGGAUGGUUAUUUUACCAUUUUACUGUUUUACUUUCCUUUUUAUUUUUUUUGAAGGUUUCCGUUGACUCUGGCUUAGCUUCCUUUAGUUUAGUUGAAUAGAAAACCGAAGACCAUGUACUUUAUUUGUUUUCCAUUAAUUGACAUCAAUAGGGUGGGACACAUUAUAAAAAUUCAUAAUUUUUUCAAAGAGUGAGUUUGUAGGAGUUUUUGGUGAGGCACGGGCCCCAAGUGUAAUUUUUUUUAAAAACUGGAAGUUGGGAAAAUGUAAGGGAAUAAUAAAUAUUACUGCAUGCUAAAGAAAUACAAAAUAAAAAUUAAUCAAAGCCAUAAAUAGGUAUAAUUAUUCUAUAAUUAAAAGAUUGUAUUGUCUUGGUUAUAGGGACUGUUUUCAUUUUCUUUUACAUCUAGAUUUUAGAUUUUUUUUUAAACCAAAAAGGUCAAAAUCUAGAAUAUACCUAGGACUUAACUUAAUUGAUUCUGAUUUUUUUUCUCCAUAAUUACAUUCUAUGAUCAACUAUUGCAAAAUUUACAACAAACAAGAAUAGGCUAAAAGAAGCAUGAAUACCAAAAAAAUAAAAUGCGGAAAAAUUUUCUAUAUUGGGAAUAAAAGUUGAAACAUCUUAACUGACUCCAUAAAGUUUUGAUUCCAAAUUACUCCCUAAAAAGAUGCUUAUCUUAAGUGAAUAUCAGCUCAUAACAAUAGGUAACAUUGAAGAUGUGCGAUUGGUUUUAUUAGAACAAAUUCAUGUUGAUGUUCAAUGGAUUCCUAGAGAAGCAAAUAAGGUUACACAUACUUUAGCAAACUAUGCUAAAUCUACCAACUAACUGAAUCUUUUUGGAAUUCCCCCUGACUUUGUCAAAUAAAUUGUGUUGUAUGAUUUCCGGCUAACUUAUUAAUAACAUUGGUUUUGCAUUUUCUAUAUAUAUAUACACACACACGCAAUCCUCCCCACAUAUAUAUUCCGUGUAGAUAUGGGUCUUUAUGAAAUUAUUGAAAUUGUUAUGGCCAGGCUGAAUUCCUAAUUUCAACCUAAGCUGAUAUCAUAUCCUAUCCAAUGAAGGAAAAAAAAUCCUGAAAAUGACAAUAGCUGACUUAUGAAUUAAUGAAAGAACACUUAAGAAAUUAAUUAAUCUCCACCAAAAUUAAUGACGUGGAAUCUAUAUUAAUUUUUGUAAAGAAUUCAAUCCUGUGUUUUUGUAAUGAGAAAGCAACAAUAGCUGACUUAUUCAUAUGUUGUACGGAUAUUCUUGAGAAAUGCUUGUUGCUUUACUGGCCAAAAGUCAAUGUUAUUAGUAAAAUCCCAAAGAGUCUUUUGGCUGAACAAGAAAAGAAAUUAAAUCCCACUACAAAGCCGUAGCACUGUAAAGCUGAUCCGUGUUGAAUUGCCCAAGUUGGGAUGGACGAGCGGCCAAUGACAAUGACCAAGUCACCGGCAAAUGAAAGAGACACCGUCAAUUAACGCCAGACUGGAUUGAUUCUCCAGUUAAUUUCACGGACAAAUAAAUCUUGUCAUUUCUUUGAAUACUCAAGUAGAAAUUUUGUAAGCAUGUGUCUUGGCAUAUCGAAGAGAUGGUUGCUGUUGGUUAUUAGUAGAAUUUCAAGUACUUUCAUCUGUUAAAGGUCAUAUAGCUGCGCAAGUAUCUUUGAGUGACAAAUUGGGAUUUAAUGUCUCUAUAUAGACUCAAGGCUCCAAAUUGGUUCAGCCCAAUGUUGUCCUUCGGUUCGAUAAAUUUUUGAGAAUUAAGAGUCAAGCCACUUUAUUUUCAAGUUGGGCUGUAGGUUCGAAAACUCUCUCACGUUACAGCAUUAAUAUUUCAUAUUUGUGUCAUCAAACAGAGCAAUUGAUUAUUGAAUUUUCAUUAGGCACUCGUUAAAACAUUUAAAUCAUACCUAAGUUAUUAUGUAAAUACAUACAUCAUAUUUAUUAUACCUCUGAAUUGGGAUACUUUCAGAUUCAUACCUAAGUUAUUAUGUAAAUACAUACAUCAUAUUUAUUAUACCUCUGAAUUGGGAUACUUUCAGAUUGCCAAGGAAAGAUCCUUUAAACUGUCCUGUGCACUAGGUUAGAAGUUCAAACACCGUUUAGUGUAUCACACAAGAAGUAUAGUACUUCUUGUUUUAAAAAUUCAGAGAGUGCAACAGUGUACUUGUCCGGUUUGAUUCUUCGCGCUCCUAACUCCCACACAUGCCUCUUUAGACUCCCCCCAAUAGAGUAGGAGUAGGGGUAGGUUAAAUAUUUUAGCAGAUAAAAAAAGAAAAAAAAAUUGUAAUACUUUUUCAAAUUAACUAUACUUUUCCAAAAACGGAACACUUGAGCCCCAUUUAAUCAAUUGCCAAUGGGUAUCCUAUACCCAAACUGUGAUGGCCCGGUCUCCUCCUAGGGCAUAUCCUAGAAGUUAGCAGACUGCCCGCCUGGCUUUCGCCGGGACUCAUUUACUAACAUUAAUUUCAGAGAUAACAAUUCUCAUUAAUCAUCCAAGCAUCCAUUCUUAAUACUUCUUAGUAAGACAAAAACUUUAUCCACUACAAAUUACAAAAGUGAAUCAUCCAAACGUUCAUUCUUAAGUACAUCACCAAGUAGUGUGAAAUAUAAAUCUAUCUGUUAAGAGAUACAAAAUGCAGGUCUUAACAUCAAUAUAUAACAUUAGACCUCCCAAAACACUCUAACUCUACUUGAUCAUCCUUCAGACUUCAACCCCUGUAAGGAAAACAAAACUAAAGGGCUGAGCUAAAACUCAGUGAGGUUUGCCCAGCAAGUUACAUUUAAUAAACACUUAAAUCAGUACAAUUAAGCAAGUAGUGCACAUUUCACUGUGCAAUCACUUUCAUUAAGUAAUUGAGAAAACACAUCAGUAAACAAUCACUUUUAAAAGGAUACGGUUCUCGCAUUAGAGCUACUUCAAUGUCAUUGAGCAUUCAUUUCUGUGUCAAGAGACACUCAUUUCAUUGUUAUUGUACAUUCAUUUCAAUAUCACUGCAAAUUCCGCCAAUUCGCCUCCUUAUGUCCUCCAAAACAAUAAACAAUCCACUACAUUCAAUAAUCAGUUCAAUAAUCUCCCAACCUCAUGGUAAUACUCAAGUAUAUUGAAACAUUUACCCAAAGCUACCGUCCUACCCGACCAAGCCCUUUGCUGGCUCGAAUAGUCCGUUGAAUAGAGGGUUUUGGGGCCCAGUUCAGCCGAUGCGGCGAGGCACACAUACGGCUUACAUUCAUGCACACUUACAGUAACAUUCAGUCAAUUAUCGACCUUCAAGCUCAACUAAGUCGAGUGCGAUAAAGUACACCCUCGACUUAGAAGACAAGGGACAAUUGAGAUACACUUCACAAGGAAUCAUUUAGUAAUAAUUCAUAAUAAGCACAUUUGUCACAUAAUUUCAUUUAGAUACACAUAAACAGUUAAACACAUAAAUUCGAAAAGCACUCACAAAUUAUCCAAAUAAUUUACUCUCAAGUCUCGGGUUUGUUUCCUGACUCGCAGCUACUUCCUAAGAUAAAUAUAUAAUUCCAUGGUAAAUUUAUAAUUUGUAGAUGUUCAACUAUUAUUUAAAUCAUUUGAAUUAGGUUUGACUUUAAAAUAAAAAAUAUAACAUAUUCAAUAUUUAUUCUACCUUAUUGUUUAAACUAUUAAAAUCAAGUCUGACCUUAAAAUACAAAAUAUACGCAAUAUUUAUUCCCCAAUUUAUUUCGAGACUUAUUGACUUUAUUAUCUUAAAUCAAGAAAUAUACAUACUUUCCAAAAUUAAUAAUUUAUAAAAUGUUUACAUUAGGAUUAAAUCAUUUUCUACUCCAGAUUCUAAGUUUAAAACUUAGGAAUAUUCCAUUGGUUCCCUUUUUAAAUUAGUUAAACUCUAAGUUAUUUGUAAAUUAAAUUUUAUUCCACUACAGUCGGCCCUCAAAUUUAUAGUUUUUAACAUAUGUGUAAAGACAAUAUUAAGUGAUUAGAAGCCAAUUUAGGUAUAUAACUAUCAUGAGUUUUCUUCUCAUUUGCUUUAAUUUAACUCUACUCGUGGAACUAGAUAUAGUCGUUAAAUCUCAGAGCAACCUUAGCUAUCAUUUAUGAAAGCUUACAGGGUUGGAAAUUAGAUGAAAUACUGUUCAAAAAUAGGUUUCCUCACGGCCACCAUUGUGAGGACCCGAAAAUUUUCUUAUUUUUAUAGAAUAUUACUGGAAUAUUUAAAUGAUUAUUCACUCAUUUUCUUCGAAUUAUUUAUUUCGACCAUUUUAAAUCCAUUUAUAUGGAAUGACGCCUCUUUAUAAUUUUAAAGCGUUUUGUUGAAAAAUUCGCUUUUCGAAAAUUUGAUUAGUCCGGAACGACGGGUGCAUGUUUUUCUAGGCUAUACUUGAAUAGGGAGUGUAUUAAUAUUGAAGAAUUAAGAACGAUCAAUAAUAGAUUAAGAAAGGUUAAUGGAGGAAUUAAUACUCAAUUCACGUGAGAACUCGUAAAAUUAUUAUUGUUAAAACCCCUAAUUUUGGCUCAAUUAAUUAUCUAUUUGGAUUUUUGCCCCGAAUAUUAUUUUCUAUUCUUAUUAGACCUAAGUACAUGGUUUUAUAGCUUCGUUAUAUUUUUAAAGUAUCUCGUUUCAAAAAAAAAUUAUUUUCUUAGAAACUUGUUUAGUGAAAAAGGGAAAACGUGUCUGAAAACUUUAGCCAUUUGGGAGUACAAUAAGCUCAAAUAUUUGAGACAUAUACAAUGGUCCUAAAAUACGCAAUUUUAGGCUUAAAGACUCAAGUGAUAGUUAGUGGUAUGAUCGUUACAAGAAUUUCUCAAAGGUUUCAUUUUAUUGCGCCUAAAUUGGAAAUACGUGUGCGCGCUUAAUUGAGGGACUUUGAACCAUUAUUUUGGGACAAUUAAGAAUGAAUAAUAUUUAUAUGAAUAAAUGUGCCCUAGAGGUUUAGUGCUAUGUUUUCAGACUCGGACCGGAUAUUGACUCGGCUGAGCUCAGGGGUCAGGGGUCAAUGGGUUCGACCGGGUUCAACCGGGGUCAAAUUAAAUGACAUCAUAAAUAUGUCAUAAAUAUUUAUUAAUAAUAUUUAAUCAAAAUAAGAUAUAAAAUUUAUCUUUAAAUUGGUGGUUUACAACUUCAUAAGUUUAGAUUUGUCAUAACUUCAAUGUUAUUAAUAAAAAUUAUUUUGAAAUUAAAAUAUUAUGUAAAAUAUCUAAAAGCAUGCUAAUAUCAAUAAAGGUGUAUACAUAUGUGUUUGAUGUUUCAAAGCUGUUUAACAAGAAAGUGCAAAGAAAUUAGAACAAUCAAAUAGUAAUUCAUAUAAUUUAAUGCAUAUUUACAAGUUCAAAGUUAAAUUUGUGGAGAAUAUUUAUAGACUAUGAAACAUUUUUAGGUAUGUUAAUAGUUUUUCAAUAUCCAAGGGGUUAGAAUACAAUAUUGAAAAAGCUUUUUGAACCCUACAUUAAUAUUCCCCCAAUUCCUUCCUCCUUUACCUCUAACCGCCGACAAAGGCUUUUCUAAACUAGUGCAACCUUUUCUUGUUCCUGUUCUCCGUUCAUUCCACUCUUCCUUUUUCUUUUUCUUUUUUUUUUAAAAAAAAAAUCCAAAGAAGGAUAGAACAUAGAAGGCCGCAUAAGCUCUCAAGUCUCAAGGCCAUCGGUGGCAAAAGCUCUUAGGCAGCCACUCCGAAUGUUUUGAGAAACAUUUCCCCUGUGUUUUGAGAUGGACGAAUUCGAAGAGGUUGAGCAAUCUUUAAGUUUUUCCAGCGAAUUUUUGACAAUGCUGUUGAUUUUUUAGUUCUCUUGAUAUGGAUUCAGUGCAAGAGUAAGCUUUACAAUAGACAUUGAAGUCUUGUCUGUUCUGGGUUCUGACUACAACUUCAAGAACAAAGUGGACAAGCUAGUCUUGUCCAUUCUUUCUGCUUUUCGUUUUUUUUUUUGAGUUUUUUUUUCCAUUCUUAUUUCUUAUUUCUUUUCAGGAUUUCCAUUCUUAUAUCCUUAGGUAUUUAUUUUCAAAACUAACAAAUAAUCAAACUUUUAUCUUUUUUCUUCAAUCUGCUCUUUUCUUCAUCUCUCUUUCUUUUUUUUUUUUUGGUCUUUUCCCCAUAUCUAAGAUUAAAUCUUAUUUAGAAAAAGAUAUCAAGCACUGAUUGUGGUGGCUAAAUUGAAGGAGCUGAGGAGGUGAAAAUGGGUUUUAGAGAGGUGAGAGAUCAGGAGGAUUUUAGAUGGGCAAAGAAAAAAAAAAAAAAGGCAACAAAAAGGGCAAACAAAAAAACCGGGUUCUUAUCGGUUUUACCGGUUUCCGGUCAAACCCGGUUUUGACCCGGGCUUGACCGAGUUUCUGUCAUCCGAGUUUUUAGAGCAGCUCGGACCGGACACUUGACCGGUUCCCGGUUGAACCGGUCGGACCGGCCGGUCCGGUCCGAGUUUAAAAACAUGGGUUUAGUGCACUAGUGCAACAAACUUAAGAGAAAUCGAGUACAAAACGCGCGCGUAGGCGCACUAGUUGCAAUCGAUUUUACGUACUUAAAAUAUUUGACGGCAAGCUUUCUUUAUACGCAAAGGAAUCAGAUCAAAACAUUCCUCUUUUCUUCUCAUUCUGGCCGAGCUGCAGCUGAGGCAAAACAUCUUCAAAUUUCACAAACUUCACCUCAAAAAUCUUGCUCAAACCUCCAUAGAUUCACACCAAAUUUCACAUACACUUAGCUCUACACUUGGACAACACUUUGAGCUGUAAAAGGGAGGAGCUUUCACGGUUUUCUUCAGGCUUCAAAGGGACCGAAAAUUCUGUUUAGACAAACCAUCAAAGUAGGUAAUGAUCUAAUACCUUAAACUUGUCCUAUGGAAGUUAAAUUACACUUAUGAGCUUGAAUUUGCAUAUAGAUUGUGGUUGUUGUUGGAGAAAUUGGAAAAGUGGACUCUAUGAAUUCCCAUUCUUGGGUUGCUGCUGAUUUUGUUCUUAAUGAUGUUUAUAAUGUGGAAUUAGUGUUUAAAUCAGUGGUUUGUUGAUGGAAAAGUGAUAGAAACUCACGUUAGGUGCAAAAGGCCAAAUCUGACCAUUUUACCCCUGCUCUGUUCAGUCACUUUAAUGCCGAAAUUUGAGAAUUUAAUGGCUUGAUUGUGUUGUUUAUAUGUUGUAGUAGUUGUGUAAAAAUUUUCAUUGAAAAAUACUGAGUUUUGGUUGGUCAAACGAAUUUAUUCCCAAAGCUAGUAAUCUGGAAAACAGUUUCGUCGUAAUCCAGACCAGUGUUCGUAUUUCGUCCAUAACUCCGUACUCCGACGUCGAAAUCAAGUGCCGUUAGCGGCAUUUGAAACUAUACAUUCCCAUUUUUCCAACGGUAUAUAAUGAACGUUCUGGUUCCAUGUGUGUGAACCGCACCACUCAUCUGAAUUCAGCUGCCCUGUUUCGCCGUUCUGCCGAAAUGAUUUGAUGAUACUGCAACUUUAGGCUUAAUUUCGAGCUUGUUGCAUGCUGAAACUUAAAAUGAUUUCUUCUGUGAAAUUAUAGUCCUAUGCAUGUAUUUUCUAACACUAUCAACCAUGCUCAAAUCCGAGUUAAAUUGAGUGAGUUAUGAUCAAAAUACGGUGACUGUUUUGUUCUUGAAAGCCUUGGAUUUGGACAGAUUUGACGUGACAUUUGUGGUGGUCUUACUAAAUGAAUUUCUUGAUACUAAAUGUAAGGCCCAAAACAACCAAUGCAAAGAUCAUAAACGAAACAAUAAGUAAAUAAAAAGGAAAGGAUUGCAAACCAAUUAACUACCCAACUCCUCUUGAGCUUGUAGAUUAAUUGAAACAAGCUACUUCAAGUUGAUGAAUUACAAUCACUCUUGUGUACAAUGGAAGGUUCACCUCCUCCUUGCCCCAAGCAGCACUCGGUCAAGCCAGGACGUUUUACUAUCCCUCAGGACAACCCUCACAAAGUUACACUCAUGAAAGAUUCACUCACAAAUGAAAAGCUUACAAUGAACCUCACACCACUAAAACUACAAAUAUUCUUUUUGGAGUAUUUUCUCACUAAAAUCUCUCUAGAUCUUUUGUAUCUUCAGUGUGCCAAAGUUGUUUUAAGUGUCUGACCAACCACUAUUUAUAUAGGACCAAGAAAGUGCCUCAUUAAUGCUUCCAACGGAUAGAAAGUAGCUGAACAGUCAACUAGCCGUUGGCAGUGUCGGACGUCCGAUAGCUCUGUUUUAUGCGUCCGACAGUAGGCAGAGAGUUUAAGACUUUUUCUUCAAUUCUUUCGGACGUCCGAUAGGCUGGUUUUCUGCGUCCGAAGGUAUGAUGUAGAACUGGAAAUUUUUCUUCAAUUCCUUAGGACGUCCGAUAGGCUAGUUUUCUGCGUCCGAAGAUACUCAAUGGUUGUCGGACGUCCGAUGCAGUCUUUUUGAGCGUCCGACAGUUUCAGCAUACUUUGUCUUCUUCCAAUUGCACUUGUUCAUGGAAUCAAAUAAUUUCAUAACUGAAAAUAUAUCUUGAAGAAAUAUUAGUAUCAUCCAUUUGUUUUGUAAACAUCAAAAGAUAGGGAUCAAAAUCAACAAUCUCCCCCUUUUUGAUGAUGACAAAACAAUGGAUGGAAAGAAACAAAAAUAAGUAUAAGCUCCCCCUCAAUCAUUGCAACCAAAACUUUUAAGAGCCAAACUCAUAAUCUCAAAAUAACUUCCCCUUACAAAUUGCAUCCAUUUCUCCCCCUUUUUGUCAUCAUAAGACUAAAAAUCAACUACUAUAAUCCAGCAACAAUAACAGAGAAUUCAAUAUUCCAAGAAAAAAUAGAGAAAUGACAGCAAUCACAGCAAAUCAUCAUGAGAUCAGCAUUAUUCUUUUAUCUCUCUUUUUGACAUCAUAUAGAUUCAGUAGUAUUCAAAGAUAUCAGCGAAAACUCAGAUCAAAGUAUCAAAAGAAAAAAUAUUCUGAACAAGAAUCACUGCAAUGAUUAGACAAAACCUCCUACUUGUUAAAAUUAGCAUCAUGUCUAACUAUCCGCAUGCAUUUCAUGCCUUUUUUUAUAUUCUUUCUCACAUAGCAAUCACUUUUCAUAUGACCUUUUUGACAACAGAAAUUACACAUAAUCAGGGAAUUAUUCAUAUGAACAGGUUUAAUAAAUCUUACUUGUCUUCUCCUAUGGAAAGCAAACUCAUUUGCAGCAGAAUUUAUCUUAAAAUGAGGUUUUGAUUUAUUACUUUGAAAACAGUCCUGUUUUUUAUGUUGAAGCAACUCAUUUAAAUCAUCCAUUCUUCUUUUCAAAUCAUCUUGUCCCCUUUUGAACAUUUCACAAAAACUUGUUUUUCUAUCAAGAUCCAAGUGUAAAGCAGUCUCACUUUUUUUGAAGUAAUCAUUUUCAGCUUUCAACUUUUUGUUUUGUUGAAAAAGAUUUGCAUUAUCUCGAAGCAAAAAACUAAUUUUCUAUUUUAAUUCCUUGUUUCUAACAUAAGAUUCUUUCAAACUAUCAUGCAAUUUUAUAAUGAAAGAUUCAAGAUCAUCAUCAUCUUCAUCAUCACUUUCACAUUGAGAGCUAGAAGAUGUUACCUCAUCAUCUCCAAUGGCCAUGAAAGCCAAUUGAGCAGAUUGAUCUUCCUCUUCAAUUUCACCAUCGGAAUUGCAUUCAUUCCAUGUGAAUUGAAAUUUGUUUAUUCUUGGUUUUCUUCCUUCUUGCUUCUUCAUCACUGGACAGUCACUUGCAUAGUGUCCAGAUUGGCCGCAUUCAAAGCACUGAUCAGUUUGCUUUUUGUUGAACUCUAGCUUCCCUUUGUUUCUCGAGUUGUUGAACUGAUUUGGGAAUGAAUUGCUAGGUCCACCAUUUCUGAAUCUCCUCUUGUUGAGUAUUCGUUUGAAACUUUUUGUGAUGAGAGUGAUAUCAUUGUCAUCACCUUCCACAUCUUCUUCAUCUAGGGAGGCAGAAUCAUCUUCAUCUUGUGAGGCUUUUAGAGCAAUAUUCUUUCGCACUUUUGCAUCCUCUUCCUCUUGCACCUUAGUCUUAAGUUUCAACUCAUAAGAGGUAAGAGAAUUAAUAAGAGAUUCAAUAGGCAUAGUAUUCAAAUCUCUAGCCUCCUCAAUAGCAGUCACUUUAUUUUCCCAAUCAUUGGACAAGGCAUUCAGGAUUUUUCUAUUUUUCUCACCAAGAGAAUAUUCUUUUUCCAGCACCUCUAAAUCUUUAAUGAGAUCAUUGAAUCUACAAUACAUUUGAUCAACAUUUUCAUGAGGUUCCAUCUUGAAAGAUUCAUACUUUGUAACUAGAGUGGACUUCUUUUGUUCUCUAACAUUCUCACUACCUUCAUGAAUUUCUUUCAGUUUGUCCCAAAUUUCUUUAGCUGACUUGCAACCCUUGACUCUAAUAGAUUCAUUUGAGUCUAAUGCACAAUAUAACACAUUCAUGGCUUUUGCAUUUAAGGUGAGAUGAGCUCUAUCCACAGCAGUCAGUUCACUUCUUGUUUUCGGUCUAGAUGCAUGAGUAUUUUCAUCUAUAAGAGAGGCAUCAUAUGGACCUUCACUAAUAAUAAACCAUAAUUCGAUAUCAAUAGAUUGCAAAAAGAUAAUCAUUCUUUCUUUCCAACUCAUAUAAUUUGACCCAUUAAACACAGGUGGUCUAAUAACAGAAUGUCCUUCAAAAAACAUAGCAUUAUUGGUUGUCAUCUUUACUCCAAAGCCGAUUGAGCUUAAUCUCUAGGAGACCAAGCUCUGAUACCAAUUGUAAGGCCCAAAACAACCAAUGCAAAGAUCAUAAACGAAACAAUAAGUAAAUAAAAAGGAAAGGAUUGCAAACCAAUUAACUACCCAACUCCUCUUGAGCUUGUAGAUUAAUUGAAACAAGCUACUUCAAGUUGAUGAAUUACAAUCACUCUUGUGUACAAAGGAAGGUUCACCUCCUCCUUGCCCCAAGCAGCACUCGGUCAAGCCAGGACGUUUUACUAUCCCUCAGGACAACCCUCACAAAGCUACACUCAUGAAAGAUUCACUCACAAAUGAAAAGCUUACAAUGAACCUCACACCACUAAAACUACAAAUAUUCUUUUUGGAGUAUUUUCUCACUAAAAUCUCUCUAGAUCUUUUGUAUAUUCAGUGUGCCAAAGUUGUUUUAAGUGUCUGACCAACCACUAUUUAUAUAGGACCAAGAAAGUGCCUCAUUAAUGCUUCCAACGGAUAGAAAGUAGCUGAACAGUCAACUAGCCGUUGGCAGUGUCGGACGUCCGAUAGCUCUGUUUUAUGCGUCCGACAGCAGGCAGAGAGUUUAAGACUUUUUCUUCAAUUCUUUCGGACGUCCGAUAGGCUGGUUUUCUGCGUCCGAAGGUAUGAUAUAGAACUGGAAAUUUUUCUUCAAUUCCUUAGGACGUCCGAUAGGCUAGUUUUCUGCGUCCGAAGAUACUCAAUGGUUGUCGGACGUCCGAUGCAGUCUUUUUGAGCGUCCGACAGUUUCAGCAUACUUUGUUUUCUUCCAAUUGCACUUGUUCAUGGAAUCAAAUAAUUUCAUAACUGAAAAUAUAUCUUGAAGAAAUAUUAGUAUCAUCCAUUUGUUUUGUAAACAUCAAAAGAUAGGGAUCAAGAUCAACACUAAACACCUACCAAAUGUACCAUGAAUGUUUCUUAAACUUUCCUUUCACAUAUGAACCAUGAUUGGAGGAUUUUCUUAGCCAAACGAUUGGAUUUGGGAAGAAAAGGAUUAAGGGCAGAUUGCCUUGAGAAUUUUUCCAAACUUUGGUUGAUUGGUUAACCACCUUUCCGAAGGUAUUUUUUCACGAAAUUUGAUAGAGAGAUAUCCUUCAUAUACGAGUACCAUACUACAAAAUUUGGUGUCAAUUCAAGUCCGUUUCGACACUUAACAAAAGGUCCAAAGUCGGAACCAAAUCUGAAAAUUUUGUAACAGUCUUGAAUUUUUCCCAACUUUGAGCUAUCAUAUCUUGGUGCUCGAAACUCCGAUUCUUGAUCCGUUUGUUCUGCCCUAAACCUUACUUGUACCUCUAAUUGAUCUAUAAAUUUCAAGGGCUGGUUUGCAACGAGUGAAUUCUGCCAAAUUUCCAAAGUUAGCGAAAAAUCAACCCGACUCAAUCCUGGGUGAUCUGGGACAGCAACUUUAAACUCAUUUUUGAAUACCUUCCAUUUAGAUUCGUGGAACAGUGUCUUCUAAGAACUUUUAGUAAUUUCCAAGAGGUUUCUAACGGUAUAAAUUUUUCCAAUUUUAGACUUGUAUCGAGUAAGAUACGAUUUUUCAAAGAUCCAUAUCAAAACUGAAAUUUUCCAACUUUCAAGGAAAUAGAGAUUUCCAAGAACUUUUUAUUCUUUCGACAUUAUGCAAACAUUUUAACCUCGAUUUCCAAGAUAAAAACCCAAAUGCUCCUGUACUUGAAGAAACUCUAAUUGAACCUCGAUUUACAAGUAAUUGAGGUUCGAUUUCGUGGAAUUUCCUUAGAUUGUACUAGUGUACAAUCUUCCUUGAUAAUUGGGAUAUAUGAAUGAUAAUACGUUAUUAUUUGUCCAGGCGCACACGAGGACCUUCAAGAGGAUCCUACCGUGCACACUUGAACUUCUAGAAAAUAUUUCUUCUUGAUUUGCUCGGUGAGUGUCAAGUGUAUGACUACUUGAACUCUAUGGACUUGAUUCAUGCUUGGCUUACCUGAUUACAUGCUUAGCCUACUUGGUUUUGAAAAAUGGAGUCGAGUGUGUACUUUAUCGCACUCGUUCUCAUUUGAAACAAAUAACUCAUGCUUAACAUGGUUUGCCUGAUCUACAUGACCUGAAAUACAUGCUUAGACCUGUCAAAUGCUUGAAUACAUGAUAUGGUAUGCUAUGGCUGCAUACGUCGUUGGAGUGAAUCUCCUCGACACUUACAUGACACAUGGGGGACGCCCAAACUCAUAGGCCGACCUUGGAACUCGAGCCAGCAUUGGCUUGGUCGGGAACCUCGGUGAGCCAUGAGAUUCAUAUGAUAAGCUUGAUCUAUUGGAGAGAUCUUGCUUGGCAUACUUGUGGAGUAUCGCCUCAUAAAUGUCGUGCGGGUCCGAAGCGGUGUAUGGUGGAUGGAUGAGAAGUAAGUGGUGAACUACGGAUAUGAAAUAUCAACCCGGUUGACGGAGAGUCAUCGCGGGAAGAUAUACGAAUGACAUCGGCAAAAUGUGGAACUUAGCUCCUGAGAGCUACCAUAUCCUUGAAUUGUUUCUGGUUACAUUUUUAUUGGCGUUAUUAAUUACUUGCAAGCUAUUACUUGAAUUGUUAUUUGGGUUUGUUACCUGAACUAUGUGCCUGCAUGUGUGUUCUUGGCCUCACGAGCGUUUUUGCUCACCCUAUAGAUUUGUUUUCCUUAACAGGUUUGAACCCGGAGGCGUACUGGAGAAACCCUCCUGAUGAGCUUUUGUUUAGGAUUUCUAUUAUAUUUUGGCUAUGCCCUUGGUUUUAGGUGGUACUUUUGGAAUUGAAAUGUAACUUUUGGGGCGUGAUGUAUAUUUGGGGAUUAUGAUGUACUUUGAACACCCAACGUGCGGGCUGGAUAAUGGAUGACUAUUGUUAAGUUUGAACGCUUUCGCAUUUACUGUAUUUAAAUUAUUUACGUGUGCUGUGAAGAUCGUUAAUAAGUUUGAAUGGAAUUACUUGAGUCCUGGCGAGAGCUAGGCAAGCGUCCCGCGGAUACCCUUUGGUUCACCUUAGGGAGAAGUGGGGGCGUCACAGUUGGUAUUAGAGCAUAGGCUUUAGAUCUUGUAGUGUAUCCUAGGAUUAAAGUUUAGGAUGCCUGACUGUGGGAUGAAUUUGAAUAUUAUGUGAACUAGAGGGUCUAUUGUAUCCUACGGGUUAAAGAAAUUGGUUACUUGAGAGUUUCUUACUUGGGACUUGUAGAAAUAAAAAUUGAGGAAUUAGCUGAUGUUAUAUUGAAGGAAAAUAUGGGAUGAGAGAUUAGUAAUGAAAGAUUGGACGAAUUUGAAUUAUUAUUAUACUUGUAAGUAUGGAAAGAAGUGAGACAAUUAUUAGUGCUGGCUAAAGCAGAUAAGAGACCGAGAUUUGAUGGUCAAACUCCAUGUAUCGUGAUUGUGAACCCAGAUGAAAGAGUUUCAAAGGUAUAAAAUGCAUUUUCCUGCUCAUUUACCUCCUAGAGAAAUUAUGCUUUGAAAUUCUAAAAGAAAAAUGGGGAUGUACUAGUUUUAUUUUCAAACGAUAAUUGGAAAUAAUAUAUAUAUGCUUUAAGUAUGUGUAAUUCUUCGAUUUUGGUAAAUAUGUGAAUUUUACUUGAAUUUCAAUUUAAAAAUUUGUGAAUAACUGAUGAGUUUGUUGAAAUUUUGUAUGUGAUGGGUUGAUACAAGGUUAAAAUUUUCUAAACUAGAUUUUCCCCCUUGAUUGUAUACUGGUGUAUUCUCACACUUGAAUUCAUCUAUGCUUUACAAAAUAAUAAUAAUAAUAAUAAUAAUAAUAAAAAUAUCUUGAAUUUUCGGAAGAACGGCGAACUUAUGUUUUUAUAAUGAAAAUCUUGAACUUGAUAAGAUUUUUGUUACUUUAAAUACUCUUCUUAUCUUUUAAAAUUCUUGGUUUUCAAGAAGGGUGAGCCUAUCUUUAGGUGUACGGAUUGAGGGAACUUUGAGAUAUAGAGUAACCGCAUUCAAGAACACGCAGUUAGUGUGAAUUGACUUGGUUUCCAUUUGACACGUAAGUUAGCAAGUUGUACUUAUUUCUUGGGUUUGAACUUGGAGCUUGAGGCUUUAACUAUAAAACCCUAAGACUAGUUAUUCUUGGAGAUGAUGGUGCUCUGGUUGGUGGCUUGCUUAUUAAAGAUUUUGAACUUCGAAUGGAUAACCUUUGGUUUCCACUUGUGUUAUGGUUUGAUUGGAUCUAAUUUCAUAAAGGCAUGUGAUCUGAUUGGAAUUAGUGAUAUUCGGACCCAUUGGUUUAAUUAAGGACUUAGGAAGGGUGGUGCACGCCAUGAGACCUUUUGUAUCCCGCUUGCAUAUACUUCUACAUUUUGUGACCCUUAAUUGCCUAUAUACAGUAUUUGACAUAUUGGUCUUGUUUUGUGACUUCUUAACUCGUACUAUAACCUUCGAUACAUGUAAAGAAUCAUGUCUUGAUUCUAAAUAUUUUUGCAACUUGUAUAUGCAUUAAGUUCUUUUAUGAUUAAUUAUUCCUUUUCUUGCGCUUAUAGACUCCUAUUAAGUAUGGUAGCAGGAAUAGGAAAAAGGGGUCGUGGCCGAGAGCUUAGACAACCCUGUACUCGUGAGAAAAAUUGAUGGAUGGCCUUAUAUAAUUUAAUGAGAUCCUAGUACUGAAUAUGAAUCGAGAAUAAACCAGAAGAUUAGAUCUACCAGUGUAUAAUGGAUUAACCUAGUUGGGAACUUAGUGAGAUUUUCCUGUGUGAAAUUUUAAUAACUGCUUUAUACGUAUAUUAUGAUUGGUCCUGUGGCCAUAUUUCAACUUUUGUCAAAGUUUGAACUCCAAAAGUAUUUCGUGGGUUUGGUGAGAUGACCUGAACUCAUUACCAAUUUGUUCUACUUGAACAAAAGCGCUUUCAAUUUUACUUGACUAAUACUAUACCCAGAUUCACUUGUUUUACUUUUCACAAAAUUUAUAUAUAUAUAUAUAUAUAUAUGUAUGUAUACAAAUUUUGAACUCGUUUGAGACUCGAAAUCAGAUAGAGUUCAAGUUCGAAUCUUUCUUAGGAACAUGAAUGCCUAUUUGUUAGGAAUCAGAUAUUAGAAAUGAUCGGGUUUUAUGUACCAGUAGAGUUAACUCUUGGUUGGAUAAAAGGGUGGUAAAGGUAUUGGAUCACAGGUUAUGCGAAAAUGAACCUACAUGUUUACCUAUCUUUCUUAAAGGUAUUUUCUAAAAUAUACGCCUUACUCGAACAUAGAUUUAACUCGAAACUUUGAGAAAAAGUGUUGGAACACCCUUCAUGUAUAUGUUAUGAUUAUUAUGUAUAUGUUUUAAAAAUCAUGCAUUAAGUUGCAUGAUUAAUAUUCUUAAAUCUAUUUGAGAGAUUUUAAAUAUGUAUUGAUGAUUGUGGUUAAACAUUAUUUGAAAUCUCUUACUAAGAAAAUUUAGUUUUGGGUCAUGAAGAAAAAUUUGUAUCUUUAACUCUAAUUUUGAAAAUUUUGAAUCGUAUUUUGCCACAGAUACAUUCAAAAUAGAUCAAAAGUCUUGACCUUAUCUUGUAAGUCAUGAUUGGUUUGAUUUAGACAAAAUUUUGAGGAAACGGAUUUUGGUCCUGCUAGUGCGUAACAGUUUUUUUGUUAGGAUUUGGAACUUGUUUCAUAUGGCGUAUAAUUUAUGGUUUUUUGGUUUCACUACACACGGGAGUAAGACCUUAGAAUGGAAGUACAUAUCAUUAUAUCAAGAGGUAUUACUUUAGUCGUGUGUGUGGAUUUUCUUAAGUAUCAUUCGAGGAGAGGGAAGAGUAAAUAUACCUGGAUGACUUAGAUGCGUGAGAAUUUACAGGUUGUGGAUAGUUGAGUUUCAAAUUCUGAUUUGCUACUUAUUUAGAUGCUUGAGCUGAUAGGCUAACAGUCAGGAUUAAGAAAAUGGAUGAAUGAAAAGUUUGGAAGAGAUGCGAAUAGAAAUAGAAAUUUUUCACAAGGAGUUGGAAUUCCAAACUAAAUUGGCUGAAUUCUGGGAAGAAAAAAAAAAGUCGAGAACUUAGGGUUGAGAUGGGAUCCAAUGUUUAAUCGCCAAUUUGAGAUAUUAAAAGUUGUGAGAUUUGGGUGAGUGAAAGGAAAUAUUUGAUGGCUUGAAUGAGCCUAACGAUUAGGGACCGGAUGGUAUAUUUGGAAUGGACGCUUGAGGCUAUAUAUACAUAGAUUAUUGAGAGUUGAACGAUGAGACUAUUAAGAACAAAUGCUCCAUAACCUCACAUAAACGAGAAUUAUAAUCAAGGGUCAGGAGCAGCGAAUAAGGGAUUUAAAGUAGAGUUACUACCAACCGGGAAUCCUAGAAACUGAUGUGCUUAACCACUUCCAAUUUAAGAUGGGGAUGCUUGAAUUUUCAGUUAUGCCAAUUGGGUUGACUAAUGUAUUAGCAGCAAUUAUUGCAUUAAUGCAUCAAGGUUUUAAAUCGUAAUAGGAUUAAUCUGUGAUGGCAUUUAUUGAUGAUGUAUUGAUAUACCCUAAAGUUUGAGAAGAUCAUGAAAAAAUACCUGAUGGUAGUUUUACAAACCCCGAGAGAACGCUAACUUUUGUUAAGUCCAAUAAAGGUGAGAUCGAUGGGAAGAAAUAGCCUUUCUAAGUUAUAUAAUAUCUAAGGAAGAAAUUGUUGUUAACUCAGCUUAAGUGGAAGCUGUUUAAGAGGAAAUGACUAGAAAAUCCUACCGAAAUUUGAAGUUCUUAGAGGUAGUCGAAUAUUACCUUGGUUUGAUCAGGGACUUCUAAGGAUACGAAACUUGGCAAGUUAUUUGAGAUUUUAAAUGUGAGGAAGAAUUUGAAGGUGAAAAUCGUUUAACCAGUGCACUUGUGUUGGCUUUACCGAGCGGAUAAGGUGAUUUUGUGAUUUAUACAGAUGGUUCAAAGGAUGGUUUAGAAUGUAUAUUAAUAAUAUAUGAUGAGGUGAUUGUAUAUGCCUUCUGAAAGUUAAAAUCUUCCGGAAGAAAGCAAUCAACUCAUGAUUUGGGGUGAGUUGGAAAACGUAAGUCAAUGAUUGAUCUGAUAGGCUUAACCAUGAAGGGAAUGAUAUUGUUCUAAGUAUGAAUUUCAAGGACGAAAUUCCUUUCAAGAAGGGGAGGAUGUGAGGAUCCGAAAAUUUUCUUAUUUUUAUAGAAUAUUACUGGAAUAUUUAAAUGAUUAUUCACUCAUUUUCUUCGAAUUAUUUAUUUCGACCAUUUUAAAUCCAUUUAUAUGGAAUGACGCCUCUUUAUAAUUUUAAAGCGUUUUGUUGAAAAAUUCGCUUUUCGAAAAUUUGAUUAGUCCGGAACGACGGGUGCAUGUUUUUCUAGGCUAUACUUGAAUAGGGAGUGUAUUAAUAUUGAAGAAUUAAGAACAAUCAAUAAUAGAUUAAGAAAGGUUAAUGGAGGAAUUAAUACUCAAUUCACGUGAGGACUCGUAAAAUUAUUAUUGUUAAAACCCCUAAUUUUGGCUCAAUUAAUUAUCUAUUUGGAUUUUUGCCCCGAAUAUUAUUUUCUAUUCUUAUUAGACCUAAGUACAUGGUUUUAUAGUUUCGUUAUAUUUUUAAAGUAUCUCGUUUCAAAAAAAAAUUAUUUUCUUAGAAACUUGUUUAGUGAAAAAGGGAAAACGUGUCUGAAAACUUUAGCCAUUUGGGAGUACAAUAAGCUCAAAUAUUUGAGACAUAUACAAUGGUCCUAAAAUACGCAAUUUUAGGCUUAAAGACUCAAGUGAUAGUUAGUGGUAUGAUCGUUACAAGAAUUUCUCAAAGGUUUCAUUUUAUUGCGCCUAAAUUGGAAAUACGUGUGCGCGCUUAAUUGAGGGACUUUGAACCAUUAUUUUGGGACAAUUAAGAAUGAAUAAUAUUUAUAUGAAUAAAUGUGCCCUAGAGGUUUAGUGCACUAGUGCAACAAACUUAAGAGAAAUCGAGUACAAAACGCGCGCGUAGGCGCACUAGUUGCAAUCGAUUUUACGUACUUAAAAUAUUUGACGGCAAGCUUUCUUUAUACGCAAAGGAAUCAGAUCAAAACAUUCCUCUUUUCUUCUCAUUCUGGCCGAGCUGCAGCUGAGGCAAAACAUCUUCAAAUUUCACAAACUUCACCUCAAAAAUCUUGCUCAAACCUCCAUAGAUUCACACCAAAUUUCACAUACACUUAGCUCUACACUUGGACAACACUUUGAGCUGUAAAAGGGAGGAGCUUUCACGGUUUUCUUCAGGCUUCAAAGGGACCGAAAAUUCUGUUUAGAUAAACCAUCAAAGUAGGUAAUGAUCUAAUACCUUAAACUUGUCCUAUGGAAGUUAAAUUACACUUAUGAGCUUGAAUUUGCAUAUAGAUUGUGGUUGUUGUUGGAGAAAUUGGAAAAGUGGACUCUAUGAAUUCCCACUCUUGGGUUGCUGCUGAUUUUGUUCUUAAUGAUGUUUAUAAUGUGGAAUUAGUGUUUAAAUCAGUGGUUUGUUGAUGGAAAAGUGAUAGAAACUCACGUUAGGUGCAAAAGGCCAAAUCUGACCAUUUUACCCCUGCUCUGUUCGGUCACUUUAAUGCCGAAAUUUGAGGAUUUAAUGGCUUGAUUGUGUUGUUUAUAUGUUGUAGUAGUUGUGUAAAAAUUUUCAUUGAAAAAUACUGAGUUUUGGUUGGUCAAACGAAUUUAUUCCCAAAGCUAGUAAUCUGGAAAACGGUUUCGUCGUAAUCCAGACCAGUGUUCGUAUUUCAUCCAUAACUCCGUACUCCGACGUCGAAAUCAAGUUCCGUUAGCUGCAUUUGAAACUAGACGUUCCAAUCUUUCCAACGGUGUAUAAUGAACGUUCUGGUUCUAUGUGUGUGAACCGGACCACUCAUCUGAAUUCAGCUGCCCUGUUUCGCCAUUCUGCCGAAAUGAUUUGAUGAUACUGCAACUUUAGGCUUAAUUUCAAGCUAGUUGCAUGCUGAAACUUAGAACGAUUUCUUCUGUGAAAUUAUAGUCCUAUGCAUGUAUUUUCUAACACUAUCAACCAUGCUCAAAUCCGAGUUAAAUUGAGUGAGUUAUGAUCAAAAUACGGUGACUGUUUUGUUCUUGAAAGCCUUGGAUUUGGACAGAUUUGACGUGACAUUUGUGGUGGUCUUACUAAAUGAAUUUCUUGAUACUAAACACCUACCAAAUGUACCAUGAAUGUUUCUUAAACUUUCCUUUCACAUAUGAACCAUGAUUGGAGGAUUUUCUUAGCCAAACGAUUGGAUUUGGGAAGAAAAGGAUUAAGGGCAUAUUGCCUUGAGAAUUUUUCCAAACUUUGGUUGAUUGGUUAACCACCUUUCCGAAGGUAUUUUUCCACGAAAUUUGAUAGAGAAAUACCCUUCAUAUAGGAGUACCAUACUACAAAAUUUGGUAUCAAUUCAAGUCCGUUUCGACACUUAACAAAAGGUCCAAAUUCGGAACCAAAUCUGGAAAUUUUGUAACAGUCUUGAAUUUUUCCCAACUUUGAGCUAUCAUAUCUUGGUUCUCGAAACUCCGAUUCUUGAUCCGUUUGUUCUGCCCUAAACCUUACUUGCACCUCUAAUUGAUCUAUAAAUUUCAAGGGCUGGUUUGCAACGAGUGAAUUCUGCCAAAUUUCCAAAGUUAGCGAAAAACCAACCCCGGCUCAAUCCUGGGUGAUCUGGGACAGCAACUUUAAACUCAUUUUUGAAUACCUUCCAUUUAGAUUCGUGGAAUAGUGUCUUGUAAGAACUUUUAGUAAUUUUCAAGAGGUUUCCAACGGUAUAAAGUUUUCCAAUUUUAGACUUGUAUCGAGUGAGAUACGAUUUUUCAAAGAUCCAUAUCAAAACUGAAAUUUUCCAACUUUCAAGGAAAUAGAGAUUUCCAAGAACUUUUUAUUCUUUCGACAUUAUGCAAACAUUUUAACCUCGAUUUCCAAGAUAAAAAUCCAAAUGCUCCUGUACUUGAAGAAACUCUAAUUGAACCUCGAUUUACGAGUAAUUGAGGUUCGAUUUCGUGGAAUUUCCUUAGAUUGUACUAGUGUACAAUCUUCCUUCAUAAUUGGGAUAUAUGAAUGAUAAUACGUUAUUAUUUGCCCAGGCGCACACGAGAACCUUCAAGAGGAUUCUACCGUGCACACUUGAACUUCCAGAAAAUAUUUCUUCUUGAUUUGCUCGGUGAGUGUCAAGUGUAUGACUACUUGAACUCUAUGGACUUGAUUCAUGCUUGGCUUACCUGAUUACAUGCUUAGCCUACUUGGUUUUGAAAAAUGGAGUCGAGUGUGUACUUUCUCGCACUCGUUCUCAUUUGAAACAAAUGACUCAUGCUUAACAUGGUUUGCCUGAUUUACAUGACCUGAAAUACAUGCUUAGACCUGUCAAAUGCUUGAAUACAUGAUAUGGUAUGCUAUGGCUGCAUACGUCGUUGGAGUGAAUCUCCUCGACACUUACAUGACACAUGGGGGACGCCCAAACUCAUAGGCCGACCUUGGAACUCGAGCCGGCAUUGGCUUGGUCGGGAACCUCGGUGAGCCAUGAGAUUCAUAUGAUAAGCUUGAUCUAUUGGAGAGAUCUUGCUUGGCAUACUCGUGGAGUAUCGCCUCAUAAAUGUCGUGCGAGUCCGAAGCGGUGUAUGGUGGAUGGAUGAGAAGUAAGUGGUGAACUACGGAUAUGAAAUAUCAACCCGGUUGACGGAGAGUCAUCGCGGGAAGAUAUAGGAAUGACAUCGGCAAAAUGUGGAACUUAGCUCCUGAGAACUACCAUAUCCUUGAAUUGUUUCUGGUUACAUUUUUGUUGGCGUUAUUAAUUACUUGCAAGCUAUUAUUUGAAUUGUUAUUUGGGUUUGUUACCUGAACUGUGUGCCUGCAUGUGUGUUCUUGGCCUCACGAGCGUUUUUGCUCACCCUAUAGAUUUGUUUUUCUUAACAGGUUUGAACCCGGAGGCGUACUGGAGAAACCCUCCUGAUGAGCUUUUGUUUAGGAUUUCUAUUAUAUUUUGGCUAUGCCCUUGGUUUUGGGUGGUACUUUUGGAAUUGAAAUGUAACUUUUGGGGUGUGAUGUAUAUUUGGGGAUUAUGAUGUACUUUGAACACCCGACGUGCGGGCUGGAUAAUGGAUGACUAUUGUUAAGCUUGAACGCUUUCGCAUUUACUGUAUUUAAGUUAUUUACGUGUGCUGUGAAGAUCGUUAAUAAGUUUGAAUGGAAUUACUUGAGUCCUGGCGAGAGCUAGGCAAGCGUCCCGCGGAUAUCCUUUGGUUCGCCAUAGGGAGAAGUGGGUGCGUCACAACCAUCAAGUAGAAUGCAUUCGGAAAAACAAGAGAGAGGCAACGAGAAAUGUAGCUUUGCCAAUCUCUGGUGUUUUGAUCAUAACUGAAGCUACACUUAUGGGAUUGAGGUGAAUUUUAUAGCGUCAACCAUUCUUAUGAAGACAUCGACACCCAGUUCUCACAUUUUCAGGAUCAAAAAUGGCCGGACAAAAGCACAUUCUGCUUCACUCCCUCGGCCAACCAACCUGCACUCAUUUCUACUUUAGCAUUUAGUUGAGUUUCUACUGGUUCCAAUCUUCCUUGUUGAGGUUUAAGGUCCGUAUGACAUGUUACAUUUACUGCACAGGUUUAGAAGUUAAAGUUUAUAGAGGAUCACCAAAGUUUCUUUCUUCCCCCCCCCCCUCGGUUGCAGCAAAUACUUUUUCCAGUAAAACAGUGGCUUAUCUUUUGACAUUUUCUCGCCUUUACUUCCUCAGUUUCUGGUCUCAAUCACUUAUGCAGAGGACACUCAAUCUACUGCAGGUUAUCUUAAGCUAAGCAGAGUCGUUCAUGACCAAAAUUCAGAGGAAUGCUGGGCUAAAUCCCGUGCCUGAGCUUAGCAGCAAAACCUGAUGCAUGGCAGCAUGCAUUAGACUCCAUCGAAUUCAGUUUUAUGUCCCAACUGAACGUAUAGAGGGUAAUGACUUAGCUAAAAAUUAUCCUAAAGAAAGGAUGACAGCUUAUGAUUAGAAUUCACGAGAAUACUGAAGAAAUAUCUGUUGCAUGCACUUCUUAAUGUUAUCAUCCCAAGAAAAAUUUGAUAACAGUUGCAGGUUCAGGCUUUAAUCUCAGUUUUCUGCAAUUUCCCUUUUCCUGCAAUUUUACAGUUGCUGCCCGACAUUUACUUCAGCCACAAGCUCAAAUUCCUAGCUAAAUUCGACAUGCAGCUGGUGUUUAUCCAUUUAUACCAACUAAACAGCGAGUUGUUAUAAAAUCUUACCUGUUCCCCUUAAAGUUCGAUGUUGCAGGCUGCUCAAGUUUCGGUUUCAGCUCCUCAAUUCCUAGCACUCGAUUCUCCCGUUCCUUGCAGUCCCUUCCUCAGCUCUGGCUAAUUGAUUAUGAUGCUUACCUAAGUUGUAACUGGUUUCUCUUAACCGUGCUCUCUCUCUUUUCUCACUCACUCGAGUCUGUUUUUGAAAGAAAGUAAGAAAGGACGACAGCUUUG
This 46743-nucleotide long non-coding RNA is filed under the name Coffea arabica (coffee). Its description in RNAcentral is "long non-coding RNA (CARA_LNC004308)". Lineage: Eukaryota; Viridiplantae; Streptophyta; Magnoliopsida; Gentianales; Rubiaceae. The record is from RNAcentral.